This 46869-nucleotide long non-coding RNA is filed under the name Medicago truncatula (barrel medic). Its description in RNAcentral is "long non-coding RNA (MTRU_LNC003962)". The stretch from base 32453 to 32550 matches the Rfam family "U2 spliceosomal RNA". The record is from RNAcentral. Lineage: Eukaryota; Viridiplantae; Streptophyta; Magnoliopsida; Fabales; Fabaceae.
CAAUGUUUUCAAGCUAGAUAAAUUUGUGAAUGUAUACUCAAUUACGUACCAAAAAUUCAACAAAGUGAUUCAAUCUAAUUUUCUUAAGCAUUAAUAUAUGCAGAUUCUUCUUCGAAGUAAUCAAUUAUAGGUAAACCAUACAAUCAAAAAACAGUUAUAGGCAAACCAUGAAACAAUAUCCCGACUCUCUAUUCAUUAUACUAUCUCUCCAAAGGAAUUAUAUCUUUGUAAGAGCACCAAGUAGUAGUCCAUUUAACUUUAGAAGCUUCCUCUCAUCCAUGAACUUUCUUAACCUGCAGUAGAGAAUUAAAUUUACAUCAAUAUAUAAUAAUACUACAAUAAUAACUUUAAUUUAUUUUCUAGCGAGUUUUCGUUGUAUCGAUGUACUCUAUCAAUUUGAAUGAAUAAAUAUCGUUUAUUUGUGUCAAAAAAAAAAAAAAACUUUAAUUUAUUGAGACAAUGGUUACUUGAGAACCAAGUUAAAUUUUGAUCUAUGUAAUACUGCUAUAGUAAUAACUAAACAGCCUGAAAACUAAUUUCAUCCUGCUUUUGUUUUAGGUUUCUCCCUGAUAUCAUCCUACAUGAAAUAAUCAGUUUUAAUCCGCAAUAAUCGGAAUAUAUGUCAUCACCUCACUCUACCGAAUUUGAAAGGUUAUUCGUCACCAGCGAAGAACUAGUCCCUUCAACCAGCAUUUGUUGAAGUAUGGCUCAUAUAUACAAGACACGGAAGAAGGCAAGGUACGGUUCAGGAGUAAUAUUGUAAACUGAAUCGGAAUAUCGUGCGUUCAUUGUCUUUCUCUUUCGUUCUCUUAUUUAAUCUUUUGUUACUAGUUGUUCUAACAACAUUAAUGUUAGCUAUGUCUAUAAAUUUGUUUUUCCUAAUUCAAACUCCCUCAUUCUCUCUGCAUUUAACCAUUGUCAAGCAAUUUGAAGUCUGCAAUAUCCAACACACUAGACUCUAAUCUCUCUUGACAAAAUUUGCACUAAAUGUACGAAUUGCAGUUAAACUCAAGUACAAUUGUUAUCUAAUUUUAUUAUCCAUUUAUUACAAUUUGAUCAUACAAAAUUCUAUGAUUUAAUUUUAAGGAUGCUAGCUAAAAGACAAACAAAUGUUCGAUCUUAGCUAUGAGAGGUGUAUGCAUUUAGUGUACGACCAUGAACUCGUGCCUCGAACAAAAUUACUCAUAUGGUCUAGCGGAAGAGAUCAGUCUCCCAUAGCAUAACGAACGAACAAAUGUUCGAUCUAAACUGUGAGAGGUGUAUAUAUUUAGUGUUUGAUCAUGCCUCAAACAAAAUUACCGCCUAGUAACAUAGAAGAAAAAAAUUACAAGUGUACUUGCCUUAUUUGUUGCCAAAGUAGCACCACUAACACCCAUAUUACCCAAUGCUUUCUCUGUUCUGACUAAGUUUUUUCUUGGAAUUGAAUGAAAUUUAUGAUGAGGAGGAGGAACCGAUGAGUGUGUCUCAGGACCUUUAUAAUCAAUCUCAUAUACCUCUGAAGGCAAUAUUGCUUCUGAUUCCCCUGUAAUAUACAAUUAAUUAAUUAAACUAGAAUUAAUUAGUAGCACCAACAAAUAUAUACAACUUACUCUAUCAUGACUUCCUAAUAUUAUAAGUUUAAACUUUAUCAAAAAAUAUAUAUAUUAUAAGUUUAAAGCAUAUGCUAUAAGCAUGUGAUGUUAUGUUAAACAAACCUCUAGAGAAGUGAGGGAGAACAAGGAAGAGAAAGAGAAAGAAGCAUGUUGUGAAGGUAGACAUAUGCUCCAUAUUUGGUAUGCUCCAAAAUUUCUUUAGGCUUUUAAAUCUUAAAACUAUAUAUCAGAAGUAUAUAUGUAUAUAAAGCCAAACUUAGGAUCGUUUAUAUGGUGGAAAAAUUAAUUAUAAGAAGUAGUGGGUGGGGAUUGUGUGUGUGUGGGAGGGUUCGUUCAGGCAAGAACCACAGCUAAGGCUGGCUCAUUGAACCAAUGUCUCUAAUCUGUAUUUUUCUUUUUUCUUUUUUUCAGUUUUUUUCAUAAGAGUUUCUGCAAUAUAUAUCAAAAUCAUUUUCAUCCACACAGCAAUUAUAAGUUGCCAGAUACUGGUGGGGUGUGGAUGUGUCGGUUUGGGAUAUCAAUCAAUGCUUUUAUUUCAAACCCAACUUUAACGGUUUUUUCUAAAUUACCUCUUUGGAGGCAAUUUACCCCUAUUAAAAAUAUCUCAUUUUUUUCAUCUUUUUUAUUUCUAUCUACAGAACAUAAAACAUUUUCAUCUAUUUCGUUCAACAUGUGAUUUUCACCUAUUUUGUUUCAUAAUCGGAUCUUACUUGUCAUUGAGGAUCAAUUCAUCAAAAAGUAAUGUAUGCCUCGUAAUUUUUGUUUUCUUACAAUUAGUUAAUAUUUUUAUCUCAAAAAUGUUAAAUUUCUUCAUCUCUAUCAUUUAAUAUGUAAUCUUCACCUCCUACGUUUUAGAAUCGAAUCAUAAUUGUUACUAGGUUUAAAUUAUCCCCUAUUUAACAAAUGUAGAUCUGACCCUGUAUUUACUUUUAGAACAUUAUCAUAAAAAUAACAUUUCAUGUUCUGUCAUAUUUGUUUCAACUUUGAAUUUAUUGGUCAAAAGUUCAUAUGAAAAAAAAGUCACUUUAAAAGAGAGAAUUAACAUUGCUAUCCAACAUAUUAUAUUAUUGGAUAGAUUUUAGAAACGGUUAAACAAGUUAUUUCAAACUUAUAAUAUAUAUGUUUAUUUAUUAAAAAAAAAAAACUUUGAAUAUGCUAAGUUGGAUUUGGUCAACAAAUUUAGUAAGGGAAAAAGAGAUGACAUGAAAUGAAAUGUGGUUGGGACAAGUCCAUGUGUGUAUAAAUAAUUGAAAUCUGUCAUGACAUGGACAAGGUGUAGUGUUUACUCUGCACACACUAAUAGUCCUACAUGUGUUGACACUAAACACUGAUCUUACACAGAAGUAGUAAUUGUAUUGAGACGUUGCCACUUCACCAAACAUGUGCCAAAAAUAAUAUUUCCGCUACUGAUUUCCUUUUAUAGCUUAUUCUUUGCAAAUUAAUAUAACCGAAAAUUUUCAUUGAAUGAUGUAAAGAAAGUUGAUCGAAAUUAUUCACUGAAAUUUACAUGACUGCAGUUAGUUGUGAAGAUAUGUCAAAAGUACACAUAAACAGUAUGAUCACAGGAAUGUUUGGACAAUUAUGCGUAUUUACUAUUUACCUAUUAUACUAUGCAUUUACAAUAUACCUUGGCCUCUUGAACCUGGAAAGACCCGCAUGCAGAUUAAUUUUAUGUUGAAUGAGAAAGUACAGUUACAUCUAUUUAUUAGACCAUAAUGGUACCUCAACAGACCUCAGAAAAACCACAUGCAUUGGUGCUAAGGUUGUAGGACCGUUAGGUCCUAGUGCAAUUGAAUCUAGAUCUAAUAGGAAUCAAUGAAAUGAAACCAUAGCAUGUAAGCUCAAUUUGGGGUGUACAUUGUCAAUAAAUCAAACUGAAUUGGAUUGCUUAUAUGUCCUUAAAAACUACUUUUAGACCGGUUUAUUUUUGAGAAUUUCUUUUCCCCACUUCUUAUACUCUAAUCUGCCCAUCAAAUUUCUCAUUUUACACGGUUUGAAUUAUAUAAUCUGAAACAUUUUUAUACGGAUUAUAUAAUCUGAAUCUCUUAAAAAUACAUGUAAAUUAUUAUGAUUCCUCCAUUUCUUAUUUCAAAACAGUUCGAAAAUAUAAUCCAAAAAAAAUAAUAUUAACAGUUCCGGUUAUAUAAUGUUAAAUGUGGCAAUCCCUCAUCUAACCAGUUUUUGACAACACUUGUAGUCUCUAUGUUAAAAAAAGAAAAAAAAAUCUGAAUUUUUGUUUUUAAAUGGCCUAUUAGGGGGGUAUUCUGGAUUUUUUUUUUUUUUUAAAGGAUUGUUUUUUCUUAAAAUGGCCUAUUAGGGGGUAUUUUGGAAAAAAAAAUAUAUAUUAAAAGGACUGAUUCCAUCCCAAAAUUUUCUAGGGGGUAAGCCGAAAAUGAUUUAUUUUACAUGGGAAAAAGCACUAUUAACCCUUCUUUGAUUCACAAUGUGUAAUAUAGGAUUCCAAAUCCAGGAGGAUGAUUGGUUUUGCUGAGCAAGUGAAUGGAUUGUACAACAAAGGUCUUUGUUGACCAUAUCUUACCAUUCCCAUAAGAACUGCACAGCAGGUUUGAAGAUGGUAUGAAUUGUCAAUGGUGACCAUUACAUUAUAACCGCCUCCAAUGAAAAGGUAAGAAAUAAAAAAGAAUGAAAAAAGAGGAGAAUUGCAAUAAAAAUAUAGAAAACAUGCAAGGCUAUUUAUAGUCACAACACCAUCUUAGAUUGUAACUAUAGUCAAAGAAAACAUGUAAAAUUAAUAAAAUCUCCCAAAAAUGUAUUAGACACACCACAAACUGUUCAAACAUUGGUUGUAACACCAUCGUACAAAUUCUGGAAUAUUUUGGAUUAUCUAAUCUGAAUGCAUGUCCAGUACUGGUUCAGAUUAUAAAUUCUGAAACUUGUCCAGAUUGUUUAAAUUUUGUGCUUUGGAGAGUUUUGCGCGUUUCGAAUUAUGAAUCUUAUUCAGAACACAUAAAAUAGAAAAAUAUGUCAUUAAUGAAAUUCUACAACAGCAAUAUAAAUUAAACAAAACAAUUUCAACGACAUAAUUUCAAGAGGAUAAUUCAACAACAAAAUGCAACAACGUAAAUUAAUAUAAUUAAACACAAACAAAAUCAUGGAUCAAACGCGAGAUGUGGACCCUAAACAGAUUAGGUUUCUUCCCGUUGUAGUAAACUACAACUAGUGCUCAUAUCUAUUUGAUAAGUGUUCAUAUGUGAUGGUGUUUGCACAUGAACCAUACAAGUCAAUUUAUUGACGGUUAUGUGCUUUGUGAACCAUAAAAAUUGUCGGUGCAAUAUGAACCACAAAAUAAUCCUGCAUUUGACUAGCUUGUUCGGAUUAUAUAUUUCAAAACGUAUCCAAAUCACAAUUUUUAACAUUGUUUGGGCAUGUUUCAGAUUAUAUAAUUUGGACAAGUAUAAGUCAUGAUUUUUUAUUAUAUGUCUAGGGUUAAUUAAGUAAAUGGUUAUAAAUAUUCAUAAUUUCUUUUUUAGUCCCUAGAAAAUAAAAUCUAACUUUGUAGUCCCUGUAAAAUUUUCCAUUGGUAUUUUUAGUCCUUGUAAAAAAUUUAUGACAACAAUUUUGGUCCCUAAAAAGCUAAAUGAAAAUGUUACAUAGACUAAAAAGUGCAAUUUUAUUUUGUUGGUACUAAAAACGAAAUUAUGAAUAUUUACAGGUCGAUGGUCGACAAGAUUUGGAAUGUCUACUAAUUUCAGGUCAAUGUGUCAUUUUUUACACAUUUUAUUGACUGUAUUACACGUUUUGGAUUGAUUGUAGAUACAAUAUAUUGUAUUACGCGUCUUCUUUCCUUUUCUUUUGGGGAAGUUAUGAUGUCAUGGUUUCACUAUUGGUCUUUCAUACGAAGGGUCAACUUAUGGGUUAGUAUAAAUGGUCAACGUGGGAUUGUCUUAUAUCAACUUGUAUUUCAUAUCAGUUUGAAUCUCAGAUUGUUCAAAUCAGUUUCCACCUUCUCCUUUUCCAUCACGUGUUCUCAAAUUCUUGUACUACAAAUUUAGUUUUAGUUGUCAAAUAUUGUGUACUACAUUGUGUUAUCUCAAUGUAAAUGUAUUAUAAAAUCUUGUUCAAUAUUAAAUUUAGUUGUCAAUUUUAAAUUAUGCCGCUUUAAAUUAUAUCAUUUUAAAUUAUUCCUUUUAACAAAUUGAGAACAAAAUUGAGUAAAUACAAUUCAGAUUUUAUAAUCUAAAAAGGUCAAAUACACUAUGGAUUAUAAAAUCUGAAUGAGAACAAAAUUAUCAAGUUAGAAGGCACGACAGAAGUACAUGGGGUUGAAAAAGAAAUUCAAUGUGCCAAUCACUUAUGAGAUGUGGCCCAAGGCUCAUCAAAUUACAAGACUACUAUUUGGAAGAACAUAAAAGGUUCUAUCAUAUUACAUGACGCAUGUACCAACCAUUACUCUCCCCACCACCACCCUCGAUAAUAUCAUGUGUCGCAUAGAGUUCAAAGGUGUACUUGCUAUCUUUAGUAAAAUGGUUGAUUUUGUAAGUAAAAAGGGGGAAGGAUUGUGAUAUUCAUACUAAAAAAGUAAGAGUUCAGUCUUUUUUUUUGAAAUGUUAAUAGUGUCUCCGGUGCACUCUAAGGAUCAUAAGUAAUAAGUAUUUAUAAAAAAUAUGUGUAAUCAAUGCAUUUAAAAUCAAAAUAUUUGACUUUUUUAAAAAAUAAUUGUUUAUUUUAGAAUGCUUAAGAGUGUCUCGGAUGCACUCAUUAACAAAACUUUUUUUUAAAAAAAAAUUACCUUCAUAUUGUAAGUACCUUUUUCUUUUUGAAAUUUUUGUUUAGAAACAAUAAAACUAUUGGCCGUAUAUGAAAAUAAGUUAGUGUGCACAAAAAUUUUGGUGAAUUGGCAAUCAAUAUUUACCUUUAUUUAUGUGGUAAGAUAAGACAUUUUCACAUAGUUCAAUUCUUACAUAGACCUGACUGAAGUAUAUAGUAGUUGCUUUAAAGAGUACAAGUCUUUUUCCUUCAAAGUUCAUAAUUUUGUAGACUGGAUACAUAUAUGACUAGUGUUCGAUAUUCAUAUCAAAUCAUCAUUUAUAUUAUGAUUUUGAUUAUUAUGGCUUGUGAUAACCUUUUACGUAGUAACCAAUCUCAACUCAAUAUUAGAGAAUAAUUCAUGAAAAACUAAUUUUAAAGAUGAUUUGGUAAAAUUAUAAUAUGAGUCAUUCUAUUUUAAAUUAAUGUUCAAGAUCAUAUAAAAAAUUAUGUUCGAGAUAGAUAACGGGUUAAUUCUAUUUUAAUAAAAAUUGUUUAGAAAUGACCAAAAAAUUUCAGCGAUAAUUAACUGCAGCUCACUUUUCUCUUCUGAAACUCACUGAAAGUUUUUGAUCAUUUUCAUGUAUUUUUAUGUGAGAAAAACAAUGUUUUUAGUGAAUUAAAUCAAAAUCCUCAAGCAACAACUUCUAGAAGAAAGAAAAUAAGUAGACAAUUGGAAAGUGAUUUGGUACCUAAUCCACCCGGAGCUUGGGCUGAGUGUUUCUUAGCCAAUUUGGAUUGACAAUAUACACCUUGUCACAAAGAACAUUGUUUUUCCUCGCAUAAAACUUACUUAAAAAUAUAUGAAAAUGACCAAAAAAAAUUAACGGUAGUUAACUAUAUCUCGAUUUUCUCUUUUAAAAUGAGUUGUAGUUAACUACCGAUAGAGUUCUUGAUCAUUUUCACGUGUUAUUAAACAACUUCUUAUAUAGAAAAAGCAAUUUUCUGUCGGAAAAUAUAAAAUUUGCAUACCAAACCACUACAAAAUAAAUCACCAUUUUUUAAAAAGAAAAUAAAUCCCCAUUAUUUAGUCAAAAAAUAAAUAAGUCCCCAAUAUUAUUAUUAUUUGCUCAGAACCCUGGAACGUGUGCACAACUCUAGCUUAAUUUUUUUAAUGGUUAAAACGCAUUUCAUGUUGGUGUCAGGAUUUUAGUCAAAAAAUAUGUUUGAUGUCAGAAUUAAAAAUAAUUUACCACAUCAGGGAGCUGACAAAUCCACCAAAACUAUGGUGCGAUUCACCUCAAAGUCAUAAAAGAUAAUACUUAAUCAACAAGUAAUUAGUUUUUUUUUUUUUGACAAAGGGAACAAGUACUUAGUUGUUUCCUGGAAAAAUAGUCAUUUUGAUUUCAACCGUGUGAGUCAUUGUUGCUUAUAGUUCCUAAAGUUAACAUUUCCAAUCACUUACUUUUUUUGUUAUUUAGCUGCCAUAAAAUAUUAACUUUUGCUAAUUAUUUUAAUCUUUAAAUGUGUUUAUCAUUUAUUAAUUUAGACUCUAAAAUUACAAAGAUAAUUCCACAGUAACGAAAUAAAGAAGUCAGACACUCUAGAAUUUGAGUGUAGAUUUUGAUUUUUUUUUUAAACGACUAAAAUUUUAUUCAAUAUCCCCCACUUCUAUCACAAGAAGCAAGAUGCUCUCUCGAUCUAAUUAAUUUAUUAAAAUACACUUAUUAAUCACGGUUAAUAUAAUAAUUAAGCUAAAGACAAAUAAAAUGAGACAGAUGGAGUACGUUACAAUCUCUAUAUAGGAGAUAAAAGUUAACAAAAAUAUGUAUUUAGAUUGCCGGUGAAUUUAUGAAAAUAACAAUGUUGCCUAAAUUUUAUAGAAACUAGAAAGUGUAAUUUUAUGAGAAUGGUGUAACUCAUUAUAACAACAAAUCUAAACAUACAUGAAAAGGAUUGCUUAGUCAUAAAACAUCUAUGUAUUUAGUAGAAAAGUUGGUCAGAGUAUCCAAAGAUGCUUACUCAAACUGUGUGUCGGAACAUGAAAUGCCAAGCAAAGUGCACCCCCGACAACAACAGCACAUCAAAAAAGAUAGUACUAAAACAAAUAUCACUUGCACAGAAAAACCCUACACUCUAGCUUCAAACUUGUUUAUAUCAACCAAGGCAUUAAUAUCCUCGAGAACUCAGAUCAUGUUUCCAUGUUUUUCUAUAUUAUAUUACCAUAGAACCAUAAAAGAUUCUCUCGUACAACUCAAGAUGUCAAAACAAGAAAAUAAAUCAACACAAGUUUAAUUAAUAAUAUGGUCACUAUGAAGAAAAAAACAACAUUGACCUGUAUUUUCGGAAGCAUGGAUACGAACACAGACACUAGACACAACAUAGACGCCGACACGCUAACACCGUUAAUAAUUUGAGAAAAUUACAUAAUUCAGUAUAAUUAUAUAUGUUGGUGUCAGACACGACACUUGUCCAACACUGAGACACGCCUAAUCUAAAAGUGUAUGUGCCCUAUAUUCAACUCAUUAUAAGUAGUUCAUAACUAUAAUUAUAAUUAUAAUAAGUAAUUCAUAACUAUAAUUAAAAUAAGUAAUUGAAAGAUAAAUAAAAAUAAUAAAUACAAGAAAGUAAUCAAUAUUGAAAACCAUGUAAAGAAGAAGGUAUCUGCAAAAACCUUUGGAUCAAGAUUUUCUUGCUCGUUCAGAUUUGCAUCUUGUUAGCACUAGAGGAAAUGCUAUAGAUUCUCCUUCUUCUGUUUCUUCCUUUCUCUUCAUUUCACAAACCUUUUCAGACUCAGUUAUUCUUUCUCUCGCUGAAUCUUCAAGUUCUUUGAAAAAUCUCAACUUUGAAACUGAAACAGACUCACUCUGUUUCUCCUCAGAGGGUUGCUCUGUUUCUUCAUUCCUUAAAGGAGAACCCCAAAACCUACUUGCUAGUGAAGAUGAACUAUAUGGUGCUGAUUUGCAUCUAGUUAGUAACAAAGCAUUUUUUGGUGGAGUAGAACAAAAAGUGGAAGAAUCAUUAGAAUCAGAAACUAAAACUUUAGCUUUAAAUACUCUGUUAUUUUCUUCUUCUUCUUCUUCUUCUUCUUCUUCUAUAUAUGAUUCUUUUGAACCAUUUUUCAUUGAAGCUUCUGAAACUUUUGAAGCUUUACUUUUUCUUCGAAAUCCAAAGCAGCAAACUGAAUCCUUCCUAACAAAAUGGCAACAAAAGAGAGUAUGUGGGACCCACCAAAAAGGGCAGCGGCAUUUACUCGGAGCUCCGUCACCGGAGGAGGGACGACCCUUUUUAGUGGUGGGUUGUUUGGAGGAGCGUUUAACUCGAACUUGACCCAUGCAAGUGACUUUAGGGGAAGAAGGUUCUUUGGUUUCAAUGGAAGUAGUGUUCUUUUUCCUUAGGAUUAAGAACAUAGAGUUAGACUUUGAUCUUGUUCUUCCUCUGCUUUUGUUUGCUGCAUUUGAUUUUAAGAAUCUCAUCAAUGGUGGUGGAAACUUUUCCAUUCUACCUGGACUAGAAAUGGGUUUUGCAGAUAGCUUCAUGAUGCCUUUGUUUGUUUGUAGGGUAACCGUUGGUGGAGAAAGGAAAGAGAAGAUAUAAUACUAUCUCCUCUCUCUUCUAUAUCUAUAUAUCUCCACUUUUUGUGAAAUUUGGUGCACUUCAUUUUUUUUUUUUUUUUGUUGUGGCCAUGCUUUAGUGGGAAGCGCGGACUCUUCUCAAAUUAAAUGUGUCUUUGUGUAGGAUAAGAUAUGUGUUUAACAUCGAUAUGAUAUCAAUAUAUAUAAUUACACUUAAUUAUAUUAUUUUCUUAAAUUAUAAUGGUGUCAUAUCUAGUGUAUUUAUCUUGUAUCUGUAUCCGUGCUUCAUAGCAUUCUAGAUAUAAUCGAGCAAAUUGUCUUUUUUGUUUAAGAAAAAUAAGUAUUUUUUCUUUUCAGUUAUUUUGUUUGCAUGUAUAGUUUGUUUUCAUCUUUCAUUUUUCUUUGCAUAGUACGGAUGGAUGAGUGAAUCUGAUAUUAAGAUUUCUUUUCGAUGUGAGGUUCUCUUUGCCCUACCUCUUGAGGUAAUUGUUGUUUUAUUAUUUGUCUCGGAUAUAUGGUUGUAAAUUGUAAUAUUGUAGCUUAAUUGCACAAUAAAAUAUAUAGGGUAAAUUGUUUUGUAAGUAUAGUCUGGUUGUUUGUUUUAUAGACAUUGAUAGGUAAGAGUGAGUGUUUAAACCUCGAAUUUUCAAUUUCUUUAUAGUAUGUGAAUUUAGCCACUAGAUUAAUUGGAAGAAAAAAGUUAUACUCUUCUCCGUAAUAAAAAGAUUUUAUUAUUUAUCAUACAUGCAAACUUAAGUUACUUUCUCUCUUGUUACAAUAAAUAGGAGGCUUGUUCUACAAUUUGGAAAUUUCAUUUCCGUUCUGUAAAUUUACCUACUAAGUAACACAUUCCCCCACGUAGGAUAAACAUUUUAUUGGAUUUUGAUUGAACGAUGUAUGUGACUCAAUUUUAUCUAUAAUACCUUUUAUUUCAUUUUGGUUGUUACAUUUCUGCAUUUUUUAUACUUAAUGUUCUUGUUCUUGCAUUUUUACAAUGUUUGUCCAUUCCCACGUAUUUCUCGCACUACAAACAAAGACUUAAGACAGUAAACUUAUCAACUUAGAACCCCCAACCAUGAUCUAACUCGAGUCCUAGAUUAAUCAUCAAGUUCAUUUAUUGAAGAUAUUUUUUUCUUUCUUGUCAACCCUUUUAAAAUGCUUUAGUGUAUAUUUUACUUUCUUAAUCAUUAGCAUUCAUCUUAACAUAUGAGAAUAUAUUAUUGACCCUUUAUUUAGUGAGAAUGACAUCUUUAUAUAAGAAUACAUUAUUGACCCUUGAGAUUAAAAUGGACGGCUUAGAUUUAAAGUACCAAUUAAAACAUAACAUGGACCAUCACCUUCUUCUUUUCUUCUCCAACCCACAAUCCCAUCUGCAAAAUCGUUGGCAUGCGUGAAUAGAAACAAACAACAUCCUCUUCAAAACAACAAUUGCAUCAUUAUUUUUAAGGAGUAUCUAACCUUUAGUAUUUCUUUCUAGUGUCACAAAUUGGAUCUAAUUUUAAUUUUGAAUACAUUCUUAAUUAACCAAUUCACAAAAUAAAUUUGAUGUCCAGAUUAAAAUCUAAUAACCAAAAUUGUACCGGUGUCCAGAUUAAAAUGUAUUAAUUAAGUAUAAUAUAUUAUAGGGUGCUGCUAACCGGUGUUCCUAAGGCGCCGGUUAAGAAGUAAUAAAUGAACGAAUUCCACUUAUUUUACAAUAAUUAAAGUGAUAAAAAAAGUCAACUAAUUAAAAUAAAAUAAAAAUUGUAUUUGAUACUCUAUUAAAUUUCCUUUCUUUACACAACUAUACACAGUUCCUUUCCUUUUUUUUUUUGACAAAAAUAAACGAUAUUCAUUUAUUCAAAUUGAUAGAGUACAUCGAUACAAUACAAAUCCAAAUUCGCUAAAAACAAAAAGGAUGAAUCUGCGAACAAACUCACAACAUCCAUGUUAAUAGCAUAAAACGGAAAAGUACCUAUGCCUACAAAUAUGACUAUAUUUAUGUCUCUCGAAUACUCAUGUCUCCAUAUCUGCAACGUUGACGACACCAAAGUCAUUGUCAUUGAUCGGAUCUGCACUUGCUCAAAGCUAAUUUUUCAACCUGAAUCAAAUAAACACCGCACUAGGACGGGAAAUCAAAAACACACUGCACAAAGACGAGAAAUCAAAACAAACAGAGUCGUUCAAAUACGACGAAAUCACAAAAACAAACGAAAGAAAAUAUAAAAUAUGUGAAAUCACUUAUUCAAUUAUGAUAGAACGAAAAACAAUUCGGACGAGUGAUUUUUGGGUCAAAAUUGACCCUAAAUCACCCCUCUAAAAAGAAGAAGAAGAAGAAGAAGAAGAAAGGGGUGACGGCUAGGGUUUGAGAAGGAGAGAAGAGAGAGAGGGGAAGAAAGGGGUGUUGUAUAAUUAGGUGUUGAAUUAUCACAAAAAAUUCCUUUCUUUUUCAGUUUCCGAAAUUGAACCAUUACAUAUUUACAUCCAUAUAUCCUUUUCAUUUCUUAACAAAAAAAAUUUCCUGUGGAUUUUAUUUGAACCAAUAUUUUUUCCGUGAACUUUUUAUGAAUCAUUUUUUUUCUUUCAAACCAUUUCAUGGAAAGCCUAUGCAUAAUUAGUAAGAUAUCCAAUUAAAAUAAAGUCCAAAAUAAAUUAAUAAUUCCAAAGAUAAAACAUAACCAAUUAAAUAUCAAAUACAAAAUCAUCAAAUGCAUAGAAAUUACAAAAUCUUCUUCAAAAUAAAAUAGGAUUCCAUGCUUGUAUCACAAAAUAGGAAAUUUGUUAGAGUAUUGAAUGCAUAUUUUUCAUAUUUUAAUUAGUUGACUUAUUACUCACUUUAAUUAAAUGAGAUUCAUUCAUUUAUUGCUCUUUAACGAGUACCACAGAAGCACCGGAUAACAUUACCCUAUAUUAUAUAUUUAACUAUUAAAUGAGAAGAUUAUAAUCCAAACAUAUCUAUGGAGACAAGAGUAUAAUCUACUUGUUAUAUCUUUUUAUUCAGAAAAUUAAAGUAAACAUAUUUUUUAACAUAAAAGGAGAAUGAAGUACUCCCUCCGUUCCUUUUUAAGUGUCACUUUUGGAGAAAAAUUUUGUUCUUGUUUAACUGUCACUUUCAAAGUUCAAUGCAACAUUAAAUGUUGUUUUACCAAUAUUGUCUUUAGUUAUUUAUUGCGGAGAGAGAAAUAUAUCAAAUGAGAUAUUAAAUGAAUAAGGUCAUUAUAGUAAAAGUAUAAUUUAUUGCAUCAAAAGUAGUAUAAAUUGUUAAUUGUCUUAAUUUAUAUAAAAUGUCAAAAUGUGAUAAUUAAAAAGAAAUAGAAGAGGAAGUAUAGUUCAAGUCUUUUCUAAGUUAUGAAAGUGUAGGUUGCUCUGGAGUAUACUGCAUUUAUGAUCCAGAAUUGAGUAUGUACUCGGACAUACAACUACUUUUAUUAUCCCCAUUAAAUUUAGCCAGUUAUGUUUAAUUAAAUUGUUAUCUAUAUUGUGAAGCUAAUUUUCAACUCAAUAUUUAUCUCUAUGAGCUGUCUUGCAAAUGAUUCAUGGCUUGAACAAGAGAGGUGAGAGGACACGGUUUAUUUUUGAAUGGUUUGCCGAUCCGAUAGACAAUCUAUUAGAGUCUAUUCGGAAGUUUAAGAGGAGAUGGGAGAGCUUUAUACUCUCUCCCUAAAUACUAUUUUCACUAAAUAUAAACUCAUUUUUUAAUUAUUAGAUACAUUUAUUACUGUCAUUGUAAAUUUAACUUAGUUGGUAAAGACAAUGCAUAAUAUCUGCAAGGUCCGCUGUUCGAUUCCCAAAAACCACAAAAAAAAUGUAUUUGUUAUUUUUCCUAAAAAUACCCCUAAUUAAUACUAAAAACUUAUCUUGAAAUAUUAAAAAUCAAAUUUAAUACACAUACAAACAAAAACAAUUUAAUAAUAUUAACACACAAAAUAGACACAUUAAUUGCAUUAACAACUUUUUUUAAAAAUGUGAAAAAUACAAAGGAUGCUUAUAUACAGAGACAAACAAAGAGAAAAGAGUAAAUGAAAGAAAUGGAAGGUUGUGGAACUAAAUGUUUUAAACAAUUCUCAAGUAGAUAAAAGAUAUAAGGCUCCUUAUACAUGUUUCAUUUCGUUUUCAAGAAGAAGAAUAAUGACAUUGAAAGACGGUGGGUUUUUUUCCCCUUCAUAAACAGGGUGGUUGUUCAGUCACUCAAAUAUGUUUUCAAUAAAAAUAAUUGCGUGAUAUUAUUUUGAAGUGAUAUUUGUUUGCCCCCACUUUGCAUGUUCAUUUGUCUAAUUAAUUACGUAAAGUAUACUUAGGAUUGGGCUAGCUACCAGACGGAUUUGUGUGGUGGAGAAUCACAAAUCCUUUGCGCAAUGAAAGCUAAGCUUCCCAUUUAUCCCGCAUCACCAAUUUUGCUAAUAAAAAUGACCCACAUGAAACUCUUGAUUUUAUAAUAUGGUUCAAUAAAGUAGCCACACCUUCUAAUUACUUGAUGAAGCACUCCGCACUCAAAUUAGUGACGGUUGGAGCUACUAGAUACUAUGUGGGAAGGGGAUUACUUCCUAAUUCUUAUGGUUUAUGGAGGGACUUGGAUCCUGGAUCUUCUCAUAGAUUCACUCCUUUCAAACAAACAAAUUGAGAGGGGGGAGAUGAGACAAAUUAUAGGUGUGAUAAGGAGUGAUUAUAGGCUAGUUGCUACACGAAUUUGGGAGCUAAAAUCUUAAGUAACCUAGUGGGCAUUUCCUAUAAACAGGAAACUUAUUUAGUUAGAAUAUAGGACAUUAAUUAAACAUUUAUAUAUUAAAAUUAUAGUAGUGGACUCCUCUAUUUCUUUUAGAAAAUGGAGAGGAUCUCAACUCCUCAUAACCUCGGUAUAUUAGUCUCAUUCUUAUACUUCCAGAGCCAUGACAAUUCAUCACUUUAAAAUCUAAAAUUAAAGUAGGAUUCUUUGAUUUGUGAAGGAUGCCUUUCAUGAUCCAAAUUCAUUAACUACGUAGGGGGAUUUCCUCUGUACGGGAGAUAAUUGUUCUUACAUAUUGAGCCUAUAGGAUUUGUAUGAUAGUGCUAAGUUAAACUAUGAGCACUCAUUAUAUAUUCCCUAUGUGUUUGAAUUGUGAUUAUCAAUGUGCAAUUAACAUUUUCAUACUCUCUCCGUCCUUAUAUCUAAACACAUUUUUAUUAGAAGCAAAGAGUAUUUACAUAUAGAGAUGGAGGAGUAUAUCCUAGGGUUCAACGCUCUUCGUCAAAGUUGUCACAACGUGACGUCAAGAGAUAAGAACUCAAAGUCCUUAUAUUCUAAUUACAUUAUUAUCCAGACCAUGUAACAAGGGGAUUCAAGGUAUUUUUGUAAUUAGAAACUAGUAAAAGUUUAAACCGGUAUAUUUUCUUGCAAAUGAGGCUAUUUGCUUGAUAUAUUAAAUUAAAUAAAAUAAAAGAAAUUAGCCUCAUUUGCAAAUAGUCUCAUUUGCAAAUGAGGCUAAUUUCUUUUCACUACCAAACAUAGUGUCUUUUCACUAUCAAACAUGGUGUUGGGGUGUCUUGUGCGUUUAGAGACAUAGAUAAAGAAAAGGAGAAAAAAUGAUAAAUUUAAUUGAUAAUGCAAUUUACUAAAAAUUAGUAAGUAUUAAAUUAUUACUUCAAAAAAAAAGUAUAAAAUAAACUCUAAAUUACUAGGAUAUUUUCUCCUAUAAACCAAAGAUUAUUAAGUAUAAAAAAUAAUGAAUGCAAAUUUACAAACAAGUGAAACCCUAGUGGUAAUUGAUUUUAGAGUCACUCAAGGGAAUCCAAAUCACAUGUCUCAACACACAUAUUCUGCUAAUACUAAUUAAUUUUAGAGAAAUGCUAACGAGUGUCUCAAAGACACUCUUUAGAGAUUGUGAGAGCACCUACAUUCAUGUCAUCUAUAUUGGUGCAGGGAUACUAUUGAGAGUUUGGACACUGUUGAAGGUUUUUGUCAUAAAUAAACUCUCAAUAACAAAAGUCAGCAAUGGCGGGCUAAAGAGUGUCGCCGACUAUUGAGGGUCUUCAACCCACCAUUGCUGACUUUUGUUAUUGAGGGUCUUUAGCUCGCCAUUGCUGACUUUUGUUAUUGUUAUUGAGAGUUUAACCAUGACAUAUAUACAAGACACUAUGACAAAAACAUUUGAAAUUUGUGAGACCACUUUAUGUCAGUCGAUAUUCAUGCUUCAAGUAAUAAACUCUACGAAAAUGUAUUCAAUGUAUUAAAAUAUUUGACCUUUUUAAAGAAUUAUUUCUUAAUUUAUAAUCACUAAAGAGUGUUUUGGGGAUAUUUGUUAAGAAGACCUUUAGUUUUAUCUUGUUAUUCAAUUUUGAAGAACUCGGGGAAGCCUCUCUGCAAUUUAGUGAUCUCUCGGUUAUAUCCUAGUAACGAGUGCAUUGGUCCCAACCAAAAAAAAAGUCAACAAAAUGCUAAAUUGAACCACUCUUUUUUCUUGCUGACACUAACAAAUAGUUUGACCUUUGAACAUGAAUAGCUCCCAUCCCAAGUCAAUUAAGAAUUACGUGAUUCAAGUUCGGUUCGUCCAAACAAAGUACCAGACGACGACAAGAAUAUGAAUAGCAAAUACUAUUACAUUACAUUUUAUAAAUGAAAUUUGCAUUUCAUACUUCAUGCCACGUUAAUUCUAUAGGUACUGUUAAAAUUAUGAAUAUGAGACAACUCCACUUCAAAGGAGAAAAAAUAUUGAAUAUAACACAACUUAUACGCCACAUAAAAUUACAUGCUGUCAAUAUCCGAGCACGAGACCUUUGUUCCAUCAUCUGUUUCUGUUCCAUGACAGCCUUCGUGAUCUGAAGCAUCAAUAAAAAAAUAGAGACCAACUAUGAGAUGGGGUUCAAAACUCCAAAAAAUAAUAAUAAUAAAUAAAAGGACAAGAAAAACGUUUUUAAAAUAAAAAGACCAAAAUUUCAUUUAUUUAUAUUUUAAAAUAGAGAGACCAAAAGUGAAUUUAAUCUUUUUGUUUUUUAUUUUUAGUUGAACUAAUAAAUAUUAAAAAUAAUUUAAUAUUAUAUUUUUCAUAAUAUUCUUUCUACAAUUUUUGAAAACAUAUAUUUUUAAAAAUGCAUUCUUCUUAUCUUGUCUUUCAACUUCUCUAUCACAAUUGUUCACUACAUAGUUCCUUCAUCUCUUAUUAGAAAUUUAAAAAUGAAGUGGAGGUGGAUAUUUGCAUGUCAUUUGUGAGCCAUGGCGUUAGGGUAUAAGCCCCCAAAUAAUAAUCAAAUAAAGGUUCAUCAACAAAAGGUUUAAGAAAAAAUCUUGUCAAAAAUGAUACGCAGAUUUUUUUAAUAUUACUCUUCUCUCACUUCUCAAAUUACUCAAAAACAUACUUUUGGCGGUAGUUAUCUUCAACUCUCGUUGGUCACUUUUUAGAGCGUAGGUUUAACCGAUCUUAAAAGUGUCCAACGACACUUUAUUAUCACUGAAAAACUGAACGAACGAUAGUUAACGACAUUUGAAAAAAGAGCAAUUUGAUACAUGAGAAAUAUUUUCUAUUUUUUUCCUAUGUUCAGUUCAAAUCCAAACCAAUGAAAUCUAAUCUCGAUUAGUUUGGAUAUCUAAUUGAAAAACAAAUUACCCGAUUUUCAAACCAAACUACUAUGUUUUUAUUUAAUAUUUCUUAACACUACACUACUUUUUAAUCACGUUACACACCCUCGCUCUCCAUAUCUUUUAGGUCGCAACUGGUAACUUUUUCUUUUCAGUACUAAAUAACAAAGUAAGAAAAAACUUGAACUGAACUACAAAAAAUUAACCUACUAAAAAUUACACUUUCAGUCCAUCACAAGACCAAUGAAAAGAGUAUAACCACAAGCAGCAGAUUUUUUUUAUCAAACCUCUCAAUCCCAAAUACAGAUUCUAUUGACCUUUGAUGAAGAAUGUUCAGCCAUGUUUGUCACUAAAAUUGCUGCAUAUGACAUGGAGUUGAGGCAAGGGAAUGCAUUACACGAACAAAAACGAUUGGCAUCUCAGCUAUUCUCGCCCCUACUACUCAUCAAGCCCAUAGUCCUCACCAAAAUACUUGUCAACUAGACUAUUUGCCAUAGUUCUGACGUCUUCAUUUUCGUGAAACUGAAAUCUUUCCAUGGCUUCAAUCCCAUCUUCUUGUUCUACAAGCUUUGGGCCCUUUCCAUUUGGCAUCCCUCUCAAGACCUACAGACACAAUAGAUCAUAAACAACACGGGGUUUAGAUCUCAAAGAGUGUGGUAUAAUUUGUCAUGUUCAAUCAUCGAUUACACAAACAAAUGAACUGAUCUAGCCAUAAUCUACCAAGUAGUUAUUUAUACAUUCAUGAAAAUCGCUUACCAGCUCUAUAAACUGAAGCCCUAGCUUGGCAGCUUCGAUAUCAGCAGAUCUAACCAAAUCAAUAAAACCUGGCAAGCAUCCUUUUUCAACAAGUGAAACCAAAUGCUCCAGGAUAAGAUUUGGUAUCUCGUCACCUUUAGUUGGGGCAACACAAAUGUUGCCUAAUAUGUAAGCAACUUCCUUUCUUAUAUCAAAUGGGGCGGCAGAAAAAAGGUGCAAUAGCAAAGGCAGUGUCUCACUAGAAUAUAUCAAUUGCUUGUGCUCAAUAGAACCAGCAGCUAUAUUAGAUAGCACCCAUGCUGCUUCCUGCAUAAGAUAAAAAAGCUCUCAUCAAGCUUGAUCCAAAUUAUUGAAUCAAAUAUUAAAUUUUAUACCUUCUUUAAGACCCUGUGUUCACUAUUUAGACAUUUUAUCAGAGCUUGCAUGGCAGUAUCUGAAAUCGUCAUUAAAUAAUCAGAUAAAGAAAUUGAUCCAUACUUUUGAUUAAAACGCGGGUAUUUAUCUUAGCAAAUAUCGAAAAAAUCACUAGCCUGUAACUUCAAGUCCAGGUACAAGAACAGCAUAAGUUGCAUGGGAAUCACCAGCAACGAGAUUACCUAAACUUCGCAAAACCUACAGGGAUUUCCCAUUGUUAUUAGAAACAAAAAAUCAGUGUGAAUAAUUGUGGUUCAUGUGCAGUGGUGUAUGCUAGUAAUCACAAGAAGGUUCACAAGAUUCUUACCGGAAUCAUUAAUUGCAAACUGUUUGAUGUUGCUAAUCUAUUUACAAGCAAUUGAAGUACGUCACUCUUCACCAGCACGGAGGUAGCUAAAUUUGAAAGUGCUGAAAGAUAAACAACUACCCAUGCUACUUCAGUAGCUGAUUCAUCGUCCCUGAGGUGAUAAAAUAAAAUUAAUAUAACAAUAAUCAGGGUAGCCUUUCAGGGAUAUUAUGUCAACUGGUAACAGCUGGAUAAAUCGGUAAUAUUUCCGAGAAAUAAUAUUUCCACGUAGUCAUAAUUUUACAAGAGGAUUUGCACUACCAUCACUUCUGAUUUUAAGCUCAGAAACCUAUAGGAAAGUGAACUUUAUGAUUAUAGUGGUUACAUUUACAGCCACAAAAAUUUCAUGUACUUCAUCCAAAUUAAGUUAAUAAAUCAUUUAGAAAUUUGGCCAAAAUAAAUAAGAAAUAGUUUAAUGGAGGAAAAGAACUUCCUCUUUGAUAAUAAAACUUUUGUGACGUCCCACCAUUUUGCAUUUGGAUGGUGUCAUUUCCACCCAAACGCUGAAUGGAAGCAUUUCCCUUUAGAGCCUUAAUAGCUCUAUGUAUCUUAUAUUCGGGUAUUCUAUUGGCCUCAAAGUACAACUCUCAUUGAUCAGCAACCAAUAAGCCUUCUCUUCGCCAAACUUUGGAAUCGUCUUCAAGAUGCAAUACCACAAUCCAACAUCCAGCUCUAACACUAGUUGAUAAUUGCUAGUCAAAUAUCAGAAGAAUAAAAAAAAAAGAUUUGAUUUUAUUGAUGAAACCUACCUAAACCCUAUAUCAGUGAUGAAUAAAAGUUAGGAAGGACAAACACAGGCUAUUGAUAUUCCUCUCAGGAUUAGAACUCCAAUUAUAGAGCCUGAGACCUCCCACCAAAACAAAUCCCAACUAUCCAGACUCCUAAUCUUCUCCCACUCACUCUUUAUAGCCUACUUCUGCCAAAUCUAUUAGAACUCCAAUCAACAACCACAAACUAGACUAACUUCUUCAACCAACAAAACCCAGCCAAACCUGUUUGGGCUUUCCUAACAAUUUAUCUAAAUAAAAUAUAAAAUAUACUUUAUAAAUUGACAUGUUUGAAAAUUUCAUCUUUCUGAUGAUGUGCAUUGGGCCAAAAACGGAACAGAAUAGUUUAAAUACAUGAAAUAUAUUAACUGUAGUUGCAAUUUAAACAAUAAAAGUCAAGAGUAGAAGGUAUGAGUCACCCAUGCACAAUAAAGCAAUAUAAUGAUAUUAAGCAUGCAUGUUAUAAAGUAACUGCGAGUCUAAACAACAGUGAAACAUGCUGGCUAGGAUAUAACAUAGGUAAGUCCGGGGAAAUACUCACGCUUUCGUUAAGUGUCGAACAAUUGCAUCCAAUACUCCAUCAACACGUAUAAGUUCGUUAGCAGCUUUAGGAUUUGGACCCUAUAUGCAAACAUACUGAAAUCAUAUAAAAACAUAUGUAUGUGGAAUAUUCCAUCUUCCACAAAAACCAUAAUGCACAAGAGACCACAAAAGCUGAUGACUACAAAACACUUCUAAAAAUCUACGGACCAUGCAGUAAAGGCAAAGAAGAUACGAACUCAGCUAUAUAGAAUAAGAGUGAUCAUUAAGGAAUUGAUACAAAUCAAUCUCUCAGACAUAUUGUAUGUAAUAUUCAUUUGAUGGAUUUGAAACCUUGAUUAGAUUAGACAAAGCCCAGGCCGCUGUUCUAACAGUUGAACGUCUGUAUGGUAGCAUCAUUCUUGCAAGAGGUACUAAGGCCCCUUGAAUUAGAAGAACAUUCCUCAACUCUUCAUCUUCACCGGCCACAUUUCCUAGUGCCCAAGCACACUGCUCAGCAACAGGUGAGGAGCUCUUUUCUGCAGAACAGGACUACUUAUGAAUUUUGAAGGUAAAUCAUUAAAUAGUUUUAACCUUGAAGAACUUCAUUAUAAUGUUGGAUAUAGUUGCAAAAUUAAUGAAGGUGGACAUUUUAGAAAAAGAAUAAGAUGCAAGUAGGUCUAAGUUCCCUCCAUCCCAUUCUUUCCUUAGAUUGUAGAUAUCUUACAAUGCUUUAACAGUUAAGGCUAUAAGAGUUCCUCUAAAUCUUUAUAUCUAUAGAAAUAUAGGUCAAAAAGGAAUCUCAAAGUGAUCACUCACCCCCAAGGUGAGCAAUAAGCAAAGGCAAUGCAGGAAGCAAAGCUUUUGUUUCCUCUGGAUUCCCUGCAGCAAUAUUUGUAAGACACCAAGCAGCUUCAAGCAACUGCAGGAUACAUUCGCAAUAACAAAAAUGAAAAUAGUAAGAAAUUUUCUUGCCAUUAAUGAUUCCAUAUGCUCUGCAUAACAUGUAUAGAAGAUAUAUGCGUUUAGACCUGUUCAUCUGGAGAACCAAAUGAAAGACACUGCACUAGUAUGGCAACUGCUCCAGCUUUAACAGCAGACUCAACAGGAGGAAAUUCAGAUCUUGACAGUAAACGCCUUAAUUCUUGAAGGGCGCCUACUCUUUUCUGCACUGCACCCUUCCCCCUAUCAAUUAAAAAAUAUAUAGAGUAACACUUCUGUCAAAGUUAAAGAAUAUGUGAAUUUGCAAUUGACAUAAUUGAAGAUUUUCUCAGUCUGUGGAGAAAAUAUGGCCAACACAUUAUCAAAGAGAUAAGAGAAAACACUAUUCUAAGAUGAUCUAAAAAGAAACAACACAACAUCAAUCUUAGUGCCUAAUUGGGCAAUCCUGCAUGCAUAUGAAAUUAUCACAUUGUUAAAAACUUCCCCCUCUAAACCAGAAAGAUUCAGAACACUUGGUGACUUAUUUUUCCUCAGACCAACACAACUAUUUGCUUAUCAUGUGUCAAAUAUGGUUUUAAAAUAAAAAUUGACAUGAACUGUAUAACUUAAAUUAAACAACUCUUCCCGUGAUUGAAUAGCUUUACCUUCAUUGGCCAGCACUAGUCUUCUAAUCCUUGUUCAUCGUAAACAGGAGCAGAUGCUGGGCUACUACAUUGGGGGCUCAAGAGACCCCCCCUCCCCCACAAGAAAACAAUUGUUUUCUAUAAUAAUACUAUUAUAUAUAUUUUUCAGCCCCAUCAAACAAACUACACACACUAACUUAUACUUACACACUCAUCACAAGUUCACAUCCCACAGUUCAGUUUUGACUUUAACUAUUGGUGGUUGAAUCCUUUGUUAUGUGUUCAGUUACUUGAGCAUACGCACAUAAAUAUUUUUCUAUUCAUGUAAAUCUUUUGGUUUUCCUUCAUAAUUAUUAUGUGUGUAGGUUCACCCACCCUUCAAUCAAAUUCUUCACACACUCUCUUAACUUUACCCCCCAUUCUCUUCUUAAUUUUUACACGGGCCUCUCCUCCGAACAUCAACAUAAACUGUUCUUUUUCUCUUCUUCUUGCUAUUACUUCCCCUACAGUAUUUUUUUAUUUUUUUUUUAAGAUUCCCCUACAGUAUUAAAAGUUUAGAUUUUUACUUUAACAUCAACUAAAUUUUAUCGACCGGAGCAUUCCCUCACAAUCAAUAUUUUAAGGUUAGAUUUUUUACUUAAAUCAAAUUUAUUGUUGUCUUCUAUUUCUCUUCAACAAUUGCAAAAUUUUAGGAAUCAUUUUUUUGCUUGGUGUUUUUUUAUUCAAAAAAAAAAAGGGUGUAGAUAUUCAAUUAGUUUUGUUAGAAAAAUAAAUCAAGCAUCAUCUAGAAAAAUAUUUUGAUUUGUUAUAAUAUUUUCUAGCCCCCGCCAAAGAAAAUUUAUGGAUCCGCCACUAGUCUUAAACUAAUUUUUUUUACUGGAAAUCUGUUUUACCCACAAACAACUAGUCUAGAGUGGCCAUGAAGUCACGAUUGCAGUAGCAUGUUGCAUAUAGACCGCCAGCAUUUAUGUUAAUAGCCUAAACCCCCAGCAAGUUCAACAGGAAAACACGGAGGUUCAAUAUAGGAUAUUAUCAGUUAAAACCAUGAAAGAUCUUGUUUGGGUACUCCAAUACAAUAACGACAUGGAAAGCAACAGCAAGUAAUUUCAAGAGUUUUGUAGUUCAACUUCUAGGUUUUGUGAAAGUGAAAGAAUCUAGAAGGGUAAAAGAAUAUGCCUGCGAUUUUAUUAGAAUGGGAAAACUAAUUCAGAUGAACACUGCACUAGUACUUAUAUAAUAGCGAGAAAGCUAUUCACGUCAAGAGUUAGUUAAACCUGUUCACUGAUUCAAAUACAUGAGAGGCUAAAUAGCAGAAACACAAACUAUGAACCAAUUUGGAUCGGCCUCUAGCUUUUGGAAUCUUUAUCUACCAAAAAAAUCCUUAUAAGCUCAUAUAUGUUUAUUGAGAAAUUAAAUGAAAAAAACCUAUAAAAACAAAUGAGAUACAUAAACUAGUUUCAACUUAUACGAGAAACUGUUAUUAAAAGACACAUAGGGCCUCUUAGGAUUGACUGAUUUCAGUUUAUCUACCGGUAUUAACACUUCAGAUACUGUUUUAGAGAACUUACGGAAACAGCUUAUGACAUGUCCAUAAGUUGUUUUCAGCUUAUUUUCAUAAGCUUUCCAAGAUAGCUUAUAUGAAAACAACUUAUAGCUUAUAUGAAAACCACUUGCAUUUAUUUUAUCUUUUGAUAUAGAAAUAGUUUAUAACGUAUCCGUAAGUCCAAGCUCAACUGGCAAAUGCCGAAAUUGUUAGGCUGGAUAUUCUUGGUGUCCAAGAUUCGAACGUGGGAUAUCCCAUAUGUGUGCGAGUUUCAAGUCGUAUUUACCGCUCCAUCUAGUCUACAGGGCGUAAGAAAUAGCUUAUAUCUUACACAAAAGUUGUUUAUCCAAACAGGGUCGUCGUAAAUGCAAUAUUCUUUUAAUAUUUAUUUUUUAAUUGUUUCUUGAGAAUUUUAUCAAAACCAACCCUAUCACCAGCAAUUAUAAGAUACAAGGAAACUAAUUUCCAACUUGCAAAUCAUAAUUCAAAACUUCAUUUUUAUACUUCCAAAAAAUUCACCAUUCCAAGAUGAAGCCAAUCUAAACCUAGGGCCCAUUUGGAUUGGCUUAUUUUUUAGUUUAUGCAGAACAGCUUAUGCAAAUAAAUAUAAGGUUUUAUGUAUUAUUCAUAAGUUUGUCAAGGUAGUUUAUGAACAAACAGCUUAUGAAGAUACAAUUUUUAUUAGUGAGAAAUUCUGAAUUAACAUAAAAGCUUAUUUAUUUGCAUAAGCUAUUUUUCAUAAGCUCAAAAACAAGUCAAUCCAAACGGCCCCUUGUUAUCAUAAACUGAAACAGACCAUAGAAGAAAAAAAAUAAAGUUAAAAAACCAAUUCUUAAUCAUGUAAAAGCUAGAAACUUGGAACAGAGUAGCUUACUGAUAAGCAAGAGCAGAUUUCAAAUUUUCAACAGCCAAAGAAGUUUGAGACUCCAAAAUAGAUUGUUCUUCGUCUAUCAUCAUUUCACCUUCAACAUCAACAUCAACUUCAGCAUCACUAACUCCAACUCUACAAAGUCGUUUGGCACGAACCAACGAUUCCCUCCUUUCUUUCCCAACUGUAACUGCAAGUUGGCGUCUUCUUGUACCCGCAGCAUUCACAACUGAAAACAAACACGCGGUUGAAUCCAUUAGCAUCGGAAAGCACAAACCUAAACCUAUCUAGGUUCUGUCAAAUUGAAUUUGAUUACUGUGAAAUGAAUGAAAAUUCAGUUGUUAUAAUGUUGAAUAAGAGUGUACCUGAUGAUUUGAUAGGGUCCCUUUUGUUCGUAGCGAAACCAGGAUCGGCCAUUGAAGAUGAAGGUGAAACGAAUGCAAAAGUGUUUGGAGUCGCUGAAAAAGGUUUUAGCGGUGGUUCUUCUUUUUAUAACGGUACAUGAUAAUGGGAUCCACGGCGGUAAUAAGCUCCACAUUAUUGGGCACUUGUAAAAAGGGAAAAUGCUGAGAAAUGUAAUUAAUCCACUUGUUAUAAAAAUUAAAAUAGAAAUAUCUUCUUGAAAAAUAGAGAGUGUGUACUUCAAAGACAUUCGUAAAAAAUAAUAAUAUAUCUAAAAAGAAACUAAAUAGUGUUUUUAAAAGUAAAGCACUCUUGGCUUUUAGUUUUAAAAAUUUGUUUUAUAAACCAAUUUUAGAGAAACUAUUUUUAAGAAGAGAAUAAAAUAAAACUAUUUGGUGGUAAUGUAAUAUUUUAAAAAUUGUUUUAGAAAUGAAAAAAUGAGAAUAAUUGUUUGAUAAUCUAAUUCUUGAAAAUUGUUUUAGAGAUGAGAGAUUUUAUUUGAUUAGAAAUUUUUUUUAAACUAAUUUAUUUUAUAUUGUUGUAUAAUAAAAAGUAAUAGAAAUUCAUAAUGUAUUUUUUAGAAAUAUGAAAUUCUCCUUAUAUCUAUUUACCGGUAAAUAAUAUAUUCAGCCAACAAAUAAAGUAAAGUAAUAUUAAUAUGUUUGUGAAAAAAAGGUAAAGUAAUAAUAAUAUGCUUUAAAAAAAUUAUAACGUGUCCUUUGUUGUUCUAUCAUGUGUUAUGUUGCUAUCAUGUAAUGUAUAAUAUAGUAUUUAUUUUUAACGGAUCAAACGAACUCAUACAUUUUUUAACCCUUUAGUUUUUUAGGAUAGGAGAUGAGGGACCUUGGUAAUGUAAGAUUCAAUUAGAAGUAAGUAAAAUUUGAAUGAUAAGGAUUAUUUCAAUUAUGAUUCAAACUUGAGUUAUUUCGAGUGAUCCUUAACUGAAGUUAGUUAAUCACUUGAACAAAUUUGCAAAGAUCUUUAUAUUAUGACCUCUAAUGAUGAUAUUUGUGUUAAAUCAUCACAAACCCUAAACCCAAAAUUGUGAAGAUUUUGUGUUAAAUUUGUGAUUGUAACAUCCACACUUGAAACAAAUUUGAUGAAGAUCUUUAUAUUCAAUGAGUAUAUUAUGACCUCUAACGAUGAGAGAUUAAGGGAAUGCUUAGAUUUAUCUCUACAUAGAUUCUCACAAAUUUUCCCUUCAAAUUCAAUGGGUAGAUUAUGACUUCUAAUUUUUUUUUUUUAAAAAGGCAUGCCUAAAUCUAUCUCAAUAUAUAUUCUUGUAAACUUGUUCUUAAGUGGAUAUUCACUUUGAGCAUCGCUCCUACUUGAGUACCAAUUUGCCAAAGAAAUCAAUCAAACUGACACUUUGCUCGACAUCUUAUUUUCAUUGAGAAAGAAUUAUUUCCAAUGGUGCACCAAAAGAUAAUGAUCCACAAUGAAAUGUAUGAUUACAGUCCUCAGUAUAGGAAAAAUAAACGAGGUUGAAACCUUCCUCCAUGUCCACGAUUUAGAUAGACCCUUUCAUACCCAUUUGUAUUGAAGUAUAUGUUCCAAAUGUUUGAAACUUACCUUCUUACCCAUAACCCUAGGAAAAAAAGAUUUCUACACGACUUAGGUCAGUCACACUAUUCAUCAUCUUGAAAAGAGACUUCAAGUUAAAUUCCAACGAUCUGAGUAUUAACUUUUUCCAUUCCAGUAUCGCAAUAAUCAAUGAUCAACCAACUUUCCAUAAUUUCAUUAUCAAGCUUUUCAUGGAUCACCUCUCAAAUCAGAUCUGACAACUUUUAUUUUUAGGAUUAUAUAGUUGCCUCUGCUCAUGCAUAAAAUCUCCUUAUCUGUGAUAAUCUCAUCAUCCACGUCCCACAAAUGAACCUUCUUCUUACUAUAAUAUAACAUGUCUUCCUCCUCUCUAUUAUGGCCACACCCUCUUUGUGCAUUUAGAAAAUCCAUGCACACAUGAGUGCUAUAUCAAAUUUACUUUUUCAUUAUUAAUGUGCGAUUAUUAAUGAGUGAGUAUGUGAGACACACAACGUCAGUUUCCUCCUUCUAGCUAAAUUUUCUCCAAAAGCAAGAGUCGGAUAGAUCGAAUCUUAACCACUUAUUUAAAAUCGAAGUUUGUUAACACUUUGAUUAAUCUAUUGUUAAUUUGAUUUUUAGUUUAAUCUCUAAAGCGGCACCACAUAUGUAUUUUUUUUAGAAGAGCUCCACAUAUGUUGGUUUGAUUCAUUUUAUUUGUUUAAGGUAUUUUUUUAGAGGUGUUUUGAAUGGAUAUGUUUGUUUGGUUUUAAUCAUCAAAAAUUCAUUUCCUCAAAACAAAAAUCAUCAAUAUAUCACUAUUCAACUAUCAUUUUCAAAAACAUAAAAAUCAUCAAAACAUCAGUAUCAUCAUCAUCUUCAUCUCAAAUCACCUGAGCUCAGAUCUCAAUUCUCAAACCUCCACAAUGUCAACAAUCCCCACAAUCCCAUCACCCCUAAAAGCCGUAACACUAACCCACGUCCGUUACGAAAGAGGCGAUCCCUUAGGCCAUUUCCUCGCCUGGAUCUCCCUCAUCCCAGUCUUCAUCUCCUUCGGCGGUUUCUUCUCCCACUUCAUCUUCCGCCGUGAAAUUCAAACAAUCUUCUUCUUCUUAGGUCUCAUCGUUUCACAGUUCAUCAACGAAAUCAUCAAAACCUCCGUUCAACAAGCUCGCCCCGAAACAUGCGUGCGUCUUGAAAUGUGCGAUUCACACGGUUGGCCUUCAAGUCAUUGCCAAUAUAUGUUCUUUUUUGCUACUUAUUUGACCCUUUUGUACGCUAAAGGAAAUGGGUUGUUUAAAAAUGUGAUUUUUAAUCUGUUUAUCUGGUCUUUGGCGAUUUUAACCGUGUAUUCUAGGGUUUAUUUGGGUUAUCAUAGUGUUGCUCAGGUUUUUGCUGGUACUAGUUUGGGGAUUUUUAUUGGGGGGGUUUGGUUUUGGGUUGUGAAUACUGUUUUUUCGCCUUUUUUUCCUGCUAUUGAAGAAAGUGCUUUUGGAAGGUGGUUUUAUGUUAAGGAUACUUCUCAUAUUUCUAAUGUGUUGAAGUUUGAGUAUGAUCAAGCUAGAGCUGCUAGAAAGAAGAUGGUCUCGGAUUCGAAGUCUGAUUAAUUAACGGGUACGUUGCUUAUUGUCUUCAAUUUUGUGUAUUGUUGUUGUUGUGAUGCAAGUUAUUAGGAUUUGGAAUUAUGUAACUUUGGAAUUGAAUAUUGUGUGACAUGAAAGUCAUUGGAAAUUAUUGUUUGUAGUUUUUGCUCUGUUUUUAGAGGUGUAUUUAUUGAAUGGUGUUAAUUUGGAAAAACUAGAGAUUAGUGAGUUGGAUAGAUUAUGGUAUGUGGUAGAACUUUAUGGCAUAAUUUGAAACAUGUAGCUAACCCUACUUAGUGGGAUAAAACUUGGUUGUUGUUGUUACAUUGUUAUGAUUCUAGAAAAAGAUGACUCAAUUAGUUAUAGAAGGAUCUAUGACUUAGCAUUUGAAUCAAUCAGGCUUCCAGAAGGUUGUGAGGUGGCAAGAAAUACCAGCUAUUGUUAGUUCAAUGUCAAAUUGUUCCUUUCCGAGUGAUCAUGUAAAACAAUGUUUAAGUUAUAGCCUACACUGAAAUAUAUAUUCAAUUCUUGAGUGUAAAGAACAUGUGCAGUGUGUUUACCCUUGUGCUAAUAAAGAUAGAUUGGUUGAUCCAAAAAUAAAAUAACAAUAAAGAUAGAUUGAUUUUUGAUAUCAUAUUUUGAGUUUAAGUCCAUUUCAUUUCCACUCUAUUGUGUUCUAUGUAAAAUGCUUUUAAUUAUUUUAAUUUAGGAAAAUAUAAGAUGGUUGAUUUAGGGCGAUGUUGAGCAUGAUUUUCCUCUCCCUGACCCUACAGAAAAGUAAAUGUUAAUCUACUCCUGAAGAGUAUAUCUAUAUAUCUUGAUUCUUCUGUUGACUCAUUUUUUUAGUAGGCUUUUUUGAAGCUCAAGUUUUGUCCCAUAUAAUUAGUCACAUGAUACUGAAAUACCUCUCAGAUAUUCGGUGUAUACAUGACUUCAAUUUUGGAAUUCAAAAGAACAAUAUUAAUUCUGUAUUAAUACAAGUUGAUAUCUUUUGAAAUUAAAAAAAUCUCUUGAAUCAAGAAUGAAAAUAGUAACUUGAAAAUUAAACAUUUUAGCUCCCGACAACUCCGUAUUUCAUUUUCUUUUGAAUAAACCUAUUAGAGUAGAAGUGUUCAAUUGGUACAUAUUAUAAACUGUGAUAUCUGCAAUGAACAAUAUAUUUCUGAAAUUGAAAGUAUAAUUAAUUAGUGAGAUGUAUUCAUGAUCCUUUGUCCGUGUAGAGUGUUUAGUGAGGAAGAUGUUUCUUAGUUAGGAUGCGUAAAAUAUCUCUGGUGUCCUCCAUAAUUGUUUGGUGUAGACGAUGCAAUGCCUAUUGAAGCACUCGUAUGGGAGGAUCAAUUAGGAUGGCCUUGAUAAUUAUAUCAUGCAGCUAGAGGGAAGAGAAUUCACUGACUCAUAACUAACUAUUUGGCAUUAUCUGUGAGCUGGCAAGAGGGAAGAGAGAGAAAAUAGAUCUGGUGGUAUAAGAUAGGGAAUGAUCAGUAGAGUGAGGUCGACUGAAUUUGGUUAUUUCCGUUUGGGAGAUCCCCAGGCUUCUUGAACUGUCUGGCCUUUACAGUUACAUUUAUAUUUUAUUCUCUUUGUAGCUCAUACACUGUACCUCAUCAGAAUCACUUUGAUGUUGGUUGAUAUCGAUAUAACAGUGUUUUAUUACUAUUUUCUACCAAUAUUUUCUGCCAUUAUACUGAAUUGGUAUCUAUCAUCUUAACUAAUGUAACACUUAAGUUGUACUAACAACCAAAUAAUCUGUUGAGACAUAAACUCUUUGUUGUUUGGCAAAGAGCAAAAUAGUCUUCAUCACUAAAAUCCUCAGGUUGUAGUACUAAGCAAUCUGUUAAAACAAAAAUUCUCUACACUGUUUCUUUCUGAAAUGUAUUUAGUUACCCUUAAACAUUCAAUUCACAUUUCACCUACUUUGUUCCACCAUUUAAACCAAUCCUCUGCAUAGAUGAUCGAUACCAAUUCAGUAUAAUAGGGAAAAUAGCAGGAAAUAGUGGUAGAAAAGAGUAAUAAAACACUGUUUUAUUGAUAUCAAGCAAAAUCAGAGUGUUUCUGAUGAGGUAUAGUGUAUGAGCUACAAAGAGAAUAAAAUAUAAAUGUGACUGUAAUGGCCAGGCAGUUCGAGAAGUCUGGGAUCUCCCAAAGGUAAUUAACUAAAUUCAGUCUACCUCACUCUAUUGAUCAUUCCCUCUCGCAAGCUCACAGAUAAGCCAAAUACGCUAUGAGUCAGGGAAUUCUCUCCCAUUGCACGUGCUUUGCCCUUCCUAUCAUAUACUCUCUCAUAACUAUCAAAAGACUGUAUUGCUCUUUGCGCCAAUGACUAUCUUGAUUCUUGCACCUUUUAAUUAAAAAGUCUCCUGGCAGUCCUGCUACUUCGGAGCAAUAUAGCAUUGCUUAUAUAACUUAACUGUUAUAUAAAACCCUAAUGCUAUUCCCAACCUUUUCAUUUGCUGGUCUAUAUCUAGCUGUAAUAAUACAUUGUUACAACAACAGUAUAUUGGUACAACAACAGUAUUUGUAGGAUACAAAAUAAUAUCCGUUUGGGGUGUUAACCUGCAAGGACAUUGUUAUUAGGGACUUAUGGUUUUUCUUAAAUAUUGUCGAUAAUGCAUGCAUAUGAAGACAUUAUUGUGAAUAUAAUCUUUACAUAUGAUUUGGUAUGUUUUGUUUUAAUUGAUCUUGUUCCUUUUCUAUUUUCCAGGCUGAUUGCUCCGACUCUCCGAGUUUGUUUGAGGAUUUGUGUUACAGGUAUUUAUGACAGUAGUAUUAAUAUAUUGUAUUUCUUCUCUGGAGGAUUCUGCUUUAGAAGCCAGCUUGCGUAGGUUACAAAUGGCAUCUAUGGAGAGAGCAGCAAAACACACACAUUGAUAUUUUAGGCCUGUGAUGCUGCCUAUGAAAUUGAAUCUGAAAUGAUGUAACAAUAGAAUGUUAUCACAUGCUAUAGAUUAUAGAAAAACACUUGAAUAUUUUAUCUUGUUUUCUAUUCGGGGUUGAUAUGAAGAAUGAAGAUACAUACAUAAAUUCAAUACAAAAGUACAAACACAACUUAGGGAAUAAAUUCCACCGAAAUUUAUCGGGGCGUUGUGUAGCAUUUUUUUUUUUAUAUAGUCAUAUGUGAUUGAAACCAAUACACCACUUCUCCAUUAGCUUGUUGCUUAUUGUUUAUGCAUCUUUUGCUGCCAUUGAAGUUUUUACGUGGAGAAAUGAAAUAUUAUUUUUGGUGGAUACCCUGUGAUAAAAUUUAUUAAUUCCUUUAUACUAUUUUAUACCAUUUUAUUUGGAAAACAUACAGUCUCAACAAGUAGACUAUAGAAAGAAGAAAUAGAAUCAAUAGGAAGGAAAAUAAAGCUUAUUCUGAUCUAUUGGAGAGUUGAAUCAACAUUCUCCAAAUAUUGAAACUAAGAAAGGAAAAAAGGGAAAUGAGUCCAAGCUGGAGCUGCUAACUACACACAUUUUUUUCUCGACGAGUGAAAUAUUCCACCCCAAGCAUCACAAGACACCUCUACCCACCACCUUCUCUGAAGGGCUGUAAAGGGAUCACACGAUCAUGUGUUCGAAGGUGUACAAUAGAUCAUACAAAGACAUACACCAAUGGCAAGGCAUACAAAGAUAACACCGAUAUUACCCGCCAAAGAGAUGCUAUACAGACCAAAAACAGGUUGCUAAUUCACCAAUACAAGAACCUUAAAACAACCACGGACACCAUAGGACUCAAACAGAAAGAAUAGCAGCAAUGCAGAACUUUUUAUUGCACCAAACCGUCACCAAAACCAAAAAAUUAGCAGCAUAGUAGAACUAUUUGCAGCAUUCUUAGUUAUUCGAAACUAAUUGCAGAAAGCAAUGACUUGAAAACCUACUGCAAACGGAUCAAAACAACCCUGCAGAAACCAAACAAAGCUUAAUUCACAAAACACACCACCCCCGUCCUGUCAUCAAAUAUCCUUCCUUUGCUAGACAAUCCGUCUCUUGGUUUGCUUUCCCUAGGACAUGGACAAAUUCAACACCUUUCAUAAUCAACAUCAGAUUUUUUUUUAAUUUGUUAAAGUAGAAUCUCAAUUGCCACAGACUCUCGCAAAAUUCUUUAUCUAAGACAAUGCAUUAUUUAGGUCGGAUUCAAUAAUUAAUUUAUCUAAUACAAGCCACAAUUGAUCCAAAAGCACCUCGAGCGCAAAAACAAUAGCGAGCAGUUCCACCUCAUUUGCUUCCCUUUAUCAUCAUGAAAGACUCCUCCAGUACAUGCACGCCCAGGUUUCCCUCUAGCAGAACCGUCAACAUUCCACUUCAAAGAUUUUGAGGGGGGACCUGCCACCUUAAACACGAUCUCAAAUUCACUUCUUCACGCCACCUGCUAUGUUACGAGUCACAUCUCCCAGAGAGUACAUACAUUCUGGACACCGACUCUUCAUCCAAAAACCUAAUAUAAGCUUCAUAAGAAAAAGAAGCUUCUCCCAAUUUGUGGCACCAUUAUCAAACACUACUCUAUUAUGUUGGUUCCAUAUCGACCAGAAUACAACAUAACACAGAGAAAUCCAAAGAUUCCUCCUAAAGCCACCGUAAAAUGCUCCUAUCCAACGAUCAAACCAAACACUCGGUUUGUACGCAAUAUGCAUCUCGACAUUCCACGAGUGUAGUCCUCCCAUCCGAAUUCGACACUUUGUAGCUUCUACAAAAUCAUGGUGGGUCACUCUGAUACCAAACAUACAUGUAUAGUUAAGCAAGCAACAGAACACAUGUAUGAUAUAAAAGUGCAGCUAGCAAGUUUCCAACUCAUACAUUUCUCGGUCUUUUGGCUAAGAUCAAAUGUAGUAUAUAUUUUUAUCAAUUUAAUAUUUGAUAUGUGAGUCAUUGGCUCACAAGUUCAAUUUUUUUUGCAUUUCUUCUUAGAAAAAUUCUUUGAAUCCAAAUUUAUUUUAUUUUUGUUUUCCGGUAGUGGUGGUUAUUGUUGAUGGCGAACGGAGCAGGUCUUCAUUAUAAAUGUAACAUUAAUUCAACUCUUUUUAAUGAUAAUUAUCAUGUUGGUUUGGACAUGCGUCACGGGGAUUAUAGUGGCUCUUUCUCCCCACUCCAAAUGGAAGGGUUUUAGCCCUUAAAAGUUUUAAAAUGGAUUAACAAUUUUGGUAAAUUUAAUGUCACCUUUGAGUCCUAUUGUAGAACAAUUUAAAUCUAUUUUUUUUCACACUAACGAUUGUAAAUCUUUUGGAUAAUGAGGUUGGAAACAUAGUGUGACAUACUUAAGGUUUUUUCAUCUAAAUGUCAUGUCACGUAGUCAUCUUGCUUAGUUGUCAGAAUAGUGUUACGUUAGGUCUUAAAAACACAGCUCGGUCUAGUGUGGGAGAUCUUAAUAGGUCUCCUAUCGUGAGCAAGUGAAUGUAAAAAAUUCUAACUAUUAGAUUGUGAAGCUAUAUGAUUUUUAGCAUACACUGUCGGUAUCCAAUAUUUUUUUUAAUUUUAUUGUCACUUUUCCCAUUCUCUUUCCUCUCCAUCCCCAUCCUUCUUUCCACGACAGAUCUCCAGAAACACUCACAUUUGCCAUCUCCUUCCCGUUGUAGUCAUUUAUAGAUGUUUUUUCCUCUUUAAAUUUCCUUUAAAUCAUUGAAUUGAAAAUCAUGAUUGCAAAAGAUUCAAAUAGUAUGCUAUCUUCAAUUUCAAUUUACAACAAAAAAAAAAACCUUUAAUUUCAAUUUUCAACAUGUUGAUUUUACCAUACAUAUAAUUUCAUUAACGUACAUUCAGUCAGAUCUUUAGGUUAUUCCAUAUAUUCGAAGAACUAUUAUAGUCAAGCCACAUGUCCAACUAUAAUAAACGACAAGAACCGUUCCUAUGGCCAUAUAUGUUUUACAUUCCAUUUUCUAUUCCCUUCUCAGCGAGAUUCGAUGGAGAAAAUUAGUGGGUUCGUUGCUUUUUUCAGCAUAAGGUUUGGUUUUGGGUCUUGUUGAAUCUCUGUUGGGGUUGUUAAUUAUGUGUUUCUCAAUUUCAAACUGGUCUCAUUUCACUCUCUGUAUUUGAGUUUGUUUCAACUUCCCCGUGUUUUAAAACCAAAUUCAAAAAUAUAAUAAUAAUGACAAUAAUAAAUGGGUAAAACUGAGUGCAGCAAAGUAUGUAGGAUAAGGAGGGAGACUAUAUCCAUAGCCAAUCAAACUAGUAAAAAUAAACAAGGAAGAAGAUGCAAGAGAGGAGUAAGAGUAUAGAUUGAUACGGUGUGGUUAGGUGUACCAUGGACAAGCAACUUUUUCACUCACUCACGGUAGGAGACCUAUUAAGGUCUCCCACCCUAGAAGGCGCCUAAAAACACAAGUGAAGUACUUAAUUAAAAACAAGUAUUAGACGCAAAGUCACUUUAAUCUAAUUUGUGUUAGACAUUAACGCGCUAUUCUGUCUCCUACCAUUGUGAUCAAUCUUUUGGUAGGUUUGGCUUUAUUAUAACUUUAACUAAUGUAUGAAAUAAAAAGAAGAAUAGAAUGCCGGUUGUUGAAUGCAGUAUAAUAAAUAAUACUACUAAUGUAGUUGUAAUCAAUAAUAUUAAUAAUAAUAAUAAGUGGUAAUCAUGUUGUCCCCGGCCAUGGCCAGUUCCGAAAUUUCAAUCUCUAAUUAAGAACAAGAAAUUAAUAUGAAUGGCCACCCUGUCUCAUUUCUAUUAUUAGAUUAGAUGGUGUCCUUGUCAGAAAAUUUCAAUAGUGGAGAUUGUAAUUUAUCAUAUAUGAUGGCUUAAAAAAAUUUGAAAAAUUUAACAUGUGUAAUGUGUGUGCAAAUUAAUCUUAUUUUUGACUGGCUGUGUCUAAUCUUAUUAAGAUCAUGUUUAAAAGUGGCCUAAUUAUAAGUACACGAGUAAAAUAGUGUUCACUUUUUUUUUAUUUUUAUCUUCAGAUCAAUAAGAUCAUCCACAAUACAUCAUUUCAUUUGGGUGUUAAAACGGAUCCAACUGUACACGUCAUUCGUUUUAUAAUUAAUACUGAAUAAACACCCAAUCUCUCCAACCCAACACCUCAAAAUAAUUAUGAAUUGGGUCUCAACAGUAACUCUAUAUCUUUCAAUUGUAACAAUAAUUUAUAGGGUUAAAUAUGUUUUUGAUCCCUAUUAAAUUGGGAACUUUUAAUUUUAGUCCUUACUAAAUUUUAAUAGUUCUUUUGGUCCAUAAAAAAAAAUAUUUGCACCCAAAAUUAGUCACUCCUCAAUUCAAAUUUGUUUAAUUUAUGCUUAAACUCUUGAGUUUUUGAACAAUUUUUUUGCAAAUGUGUUAAGAAUAUUACUAAAAGUUCCUCUGCGAAAAAUUGUAGCAAAAUUUGAUUUCCACGUCCAGAUUUUGUUAAUUUUAUCUUUAACUUUUGUCGUUUUAAAAAAUUCAUAUUUAAUUCGUUUUAUGUUAAAAAGUUCUAAAUUUUAGUAAAUGAACCUCUCAUAGUGUUCUAAGGAUAGUUAAACAAACUUUGUUGUAACAGGGACUAAAAUUAGAAGUAAUUUAUUUUUUGCAGGGACUAAAAAACCUAUUAAAAUUAAGUAAGGACUAAACUUAAAAGUUCGUAAUUUUAUAGAGUCUAAGAACAUAUUUAACCCUAAUUUAUAUACUAAUUCAUAAUUAUAUAAUUUUAAAAUAUUGAAGUAAUAUAAUUAUAAAUCAUAUAAAAAAAGCGAACAUUUUUUAUUUUAUUAAUAAUUCAAGAAACUAUUAUUUGCAACUAUUAUAUAAUUUAUUUUUUAAUAUUAAAAUAAUACAAUAUUUGAAUAUAGAGAAAUAUAAUAGAAUUAAUUGUACAUGUGGGACCCAUGAGUAAUAGGAGGGAGGGUGCCUAUAAAAGCAUUCAUCUUUAUAAGCACCAUAAUCAUUGAUGUCACAAAGGAAAUGCCUAUUUAACAUGGUGCUAAAUAGGGGGAAGGACCCUCCAUUGUAGAUGGUCUAAGUAUUAUCAUAUUUCAUUUGAUCUAAUGAUGAACUUUAUUGAUUCAAUAAUGAAAAAAUUUUCGUACAUGAUAAAAUAUCUAUCUCACUUGUGCAUCAUAAAACUAUUCUUAAAAGUGAAUAAUAUUUUUCCAUCAGGUUCAUUAGUAACUUCAUUAAGGUUGCGACUUGGGGAAGGAUUCACAAAUUAUUAGCAGAGGACAUGGUUUUGGAUUUUCAAACUGGUUUGAUAAUCACUUAGAGUCUUAGAUAAUAGGGACAACACUUUCUUUUGGAAUGAUCCUAGGAUUGCAAGCCUCCAUAAAGGAAGGGGGGCAAUUUCCGAUGACAAAAGUGGGAAGCUCAAAUUGCGUAGUAGAGACCCCUAAAGAAGGGGGGAUCGAAGCUCUACAAAAAGAGGGCAACCCUAAUUUUUAGUGUGUGUGUGUGUGUGUGAGAGAGAGAGAGAGAGAGAGAGAGAGAGGUCAUCGCUAUAACACUCUAAUUCAUCAUUGCUAAUAACUUAACAGGUUGGUAGCAUGAGCAAUUCUUAAAUUACAUUGUGCCAUAUAUCGUGGCGGAUCUUGAGUUAAUUUGUUGGGGGUGCCAAACUUUUAUGGAAUAUAUAUUUAAUGGUUUCAAGUAUUAUCAAUAAUUAAUAGUUGGCCAAGUGGUUAAAAUGUUUUGAAGGAGCAAGAGGAAGUGGGUUUGAAUCCCCUCAAGAAUGCCAGCUCAAUUAUAGUUGUUAUUAUACUCUUAAUAUAGUAUAUAAGGAAACUUUGAGGGAUACCAUGUCACCUGCCCCCAAAGAGAUCCGCCCCUGGCCAUAUACUUAAAAAGAUGAUUGUUAGGAGUCUUAUAUUGAAUAAAUAAAAUUUCUCAAUGUCGUAUUUAGGUCUUGAGCCUCUCCUAUUUAGGUACUAUUGUUUGGAUGCGUUGAGCUUAUCUCGUAAGCUUAAGUUCUAACAAUUUGUAUUUUCAUUGAUAGUAGGUCGCAUAAUGAGCUUUUAUAAAUUAGAUUAAGGUGUUCCACUGAAUAGUGAUAUGUGAGUUAAGUCUCCAAAAAGGAAAUGACUACCUUCGCUCGUUAAUGCUGAUAGAGUGAAAGCAUCAGUAGAUGUUAAGAACUUAUUAGGCGUGACAAUGUUACGAACCUCACAUUAAAUAAAUAUAAAAGAGUUCAAUAUGAUACUUAAAUCAUAAAACUCUCUCUCUCAAUUAACUAAUAUUUUGGGUUGAGUGCCAUCAUGCGCUUUACUCGUAACAAAGGUUGAAGUUUAAAGAUUAUGUGAAGUUCACACAUUGUUGUUGGCAUAUGGUAUGACUAUGUUUAUAGAGUACUAGUUUAUGAAUUGAGUAGUGAUAAUUUAACAACCAUUUGAGAUAAUUUUUUGUGACAACUUAUUUUCUCUCUCUUUUCAUUGGUUAAAAACAUUGGAGAGAAAAAAAGGAAGAGAGAGAAUAAGAUAAUAAUAUAAGUGUGAGAGAGAAAGUUGUUAAAAAGUUGUCAUAAAUUGGUUGUAUAAAUAUAAUUUCUCUUGUGAAUUAAGUUUUAAAAAAAUAGUGUGUUCGACAAGUAACCUAUUGAAACUUUUAGGUUUUACAUCGAUCACAUUUACUGAAAGGCAAAAGUAAAGUUGCAAGAAAUUCCUUUGUUACGGGAUCAAAAGAAAAGUGGAAAAAAAAAAAGGAAAAAGAAGAAGCAUUCAUACUAUGCAUGGAAUAAUUAGCAAGAAUAAAAAGAAGGAAACGCAUAUGGGACCGAUUUGUUUGUGUUAUCCAAACAGAAUUUUCGGCAAGAUUCACAAAAGUGCUUUAUCAAGUAUAUUUAAAAGAAAAAAUUGCUAAAAAAAAAAAGUCUAUUUAAAAGAAAAAGAACCUAUUUAUUAAAUAACCAUAAUGGUAAUUUUUCAAAUGAGAUAAUUCUAUUUAAAAAAGAAAGUGGCAUUAAUAUUUUUUUUCAAUAUUUAUUAAAUGAAACUCACUUGCAUAUGAACUAUGAGUUUUUAGGUAAAAUAAAGUAUUAAAAAAUAAUAUUUAUUCAAAAUAAUAAUAAUAUCUAAUCCAUUUAAAAAAUGAAUGUAUUAUGUUUUUCAUAUUUAAGACAAAAAAUUGUGCGGUCCUAUAUUCAUCUCUUUAUGCAAGACCAUCUUAGAGUCUUAGUAAAUUCACAAAAAUUAUAAAAGAAAAAAUGUUUUUCAUUAAAAUUGUCAACAACCGCAUUAUCUUUUUAAUUAAGUGUAUUUUAGUUGUAAUUGAUUAAAAAAUAAAAAUGUGGAUAUUAAUAUAUCAAAAAGAGUUUCAUUAAGGUGUAUUAUUUUUAAAAAUUUACUCCUGCAUAUUGAAUUGAAAGAUCGUUCAUUUACUCAUGUAAUGUUGUUACUCGUUUAAAAUAUGUCUCAUUUAUAAAAAAGGGUUUGUCCUAAAUGAAUGACUUUUGAUUUUCAAGAUAAUACUAAUUAUUUUUAUUUUCCAAUUCUAAUAUCUAAUUAAUAUUAUUCUUUUUCCUAAGUAAAUACAUUUCAUUGUGUAUUUAUGUUAACGGUGAUUACACCCGUGCAUAUUAAAGAUGGUGGUAAGUGUUGAACAAGGUAACACAAGGUUGAGAAGUUAUCUUCCAACCAAGUGACACUUGGCAAAAUUGAGAAGUUAUCUUCUAAGUUAUAACUAUGUAUAUUUUACUAGAAUACAUCCAAUAGUUUUUUAUAUGGUAGUGUUUUAGUAAGCUACAUCUUAAGAUGCAUUUAACCACUUUUAAUUAUGACUUACUAAAACACACCUUCUAGCAAAUGCUUAUAGGAGUUGCUAAUAUACACUCAUUUAUUUUUUAGAAUGUGUGUUUUAACAACAUUCACCUUAAGGUGUAUUUAACAACUUUUUAGUUAUAUCUUUGCUAAAACACACCUUCUAAAGAAUAAAUGGAUGUAUCAUAGCAAACCCAUAUAUAUAUAUAUCUAUCUUUUAUUUUAUUUUUAUGUAAGCAUAUAUCCGUUCUAAAAUAAUUGACUUAAUUGAUUUUUUAAUAUAUAUUGAUGAAUAAUUUUAAUCUUUUAAAAUUUUAAUUAUUUAUUUGUAAAAUUUAUAUAAAAAAUUGAUUUUUUAAAAAUAUUCAUCGAGAUAAAUUCAACAUCAUAUAUGUUACUUCCUCCAUCCAUAAAUAUAUGACCCUUUUGUGAAAAACACGAGAAUUAGAAAAGUUGAUUAUAGUAUUAAUUUUGUUGACAAUUGCUAUUAUUUUACAAAUUUACCCUGUAGAAGGGUAUUUAUUACAUAUUGAAUAAAAAUAUGUAACAUAAAUAGGGGUAUAUUGGUGAAGAAAUAAUUAAUGUACUUUAAAAUUUGAAAAGGGUAUUAUAAAAAAGGACAAAGAAAAAACUCAAAAGAGUCUUAUAAUUAAGGGCAGAGGUAGUACCAUUAAUCUUUAAAUACUAGUGAAUAAAACUCAAGAGGGAUGGAUCAAACUCAAUUGUGAUGGAGCUUGCAAAGAGAAUGGAGAUCGCUCGGGUUGUGGAGGUUUACUUCGGGAUGCUAAUGGUAGAUGGAUCAAAGGUUUUGUCCGCAAGAUUGGCGCGUGUGAUGCUCUUCAUGCAGAGAUGUGGGGUAUGUACCUUGGUCUAGAGUUGGCUUGGAGGGACGGUAUUUCUCAGCUUUGCGUUGAAAGUGAUUCAAAAUUGCUUAUUGACAUGAUAACAAAUAAUUGCAAGAUGAAUGGGACAAUCCCUGUGCUCAUUCGGCGUAUUCAAAAUAUUUUGAAUCGUAAUUGGCGGAUUCAGGUUCAUCACACUUUGCGAGAAGGCAACAGAAGUGCUGAUUGGCUUGCCAACUUCAGCCUUACCAUGGAUUCAUGGAAUUUUACUAUUUUGGAGACCCCUCCUAGUGAGCUCAAUAGUCUCCUCUUUGAUGACAUCUCUGGUGCUUGUAUGCCUAGAAAUGUUCGUGUAAUUGUUUAGUGUUCUCUUUUGGGCUUCGGCCCUCUCUUGUACCAAAAAAAAAAAAAAAAGAUCAAAAUAAAGUCCGCAUCAAAAGGAAACUAUAUACAUCGGUUGGGUGUGACCUCAGAUUGGUUGGGUUAAGCUUAAUUUUGAUGGUGCUUGGAAGGGAUCUGGUACUCUUACAAAGUGUGGAGGGCUUUUUCGAGACUCUGAAGGCAGAUGGAUCAAAGGCUACUUCAAGAAGAUUGGAAUGUGUGAUGUUUUUCAUGUUGAAAUGUGGGGCAUGUACAUGGGUUUGGACUUGGCGUGGAGGGAGAAUACCACUCAUCUUAUAGUGGAGAGUGAAUCAAAGAUCUUGGUCGACAUGAUUACUGAAAAAUUGCAAUUUUGGUGGAACGACUCCUACCUUGGUCAAGCGUAUUCGACAACUUUUGAGUUUGAGUUGGACUGUCAAAAUAACCCAUACUUGGCGUGAAGGCAACAAAAGUGUAUAUUGGCUUGCUAAUUUCAGCAUUUCGAUGGAUUUUUUAGAUUUUCAUAUUUUGGAGAAUACCCCUAGUAAGCUUCAUAGUCUUUUGUUUGAUGAUAUUUCGGGGCCUGCAUGCCUAGGAACGUCCGUUUAAUUUUUUAGUUUUCUAUCUCUUUGGACUUUGACCCUCUUUUGUACCAAAAAUAUAAAAUAAAAAUAUGAUCAAAAUAUAUUAGUAGGUAAAUAGUGUCUACAUUAAACAAGAUCAAUUAGUUUAGGACCAAUGAUGUAAUUUACUGAACAUAUCACUUUUCUACACAUAAUACUACUCUUCAGUUUUAAAUGAGUGUCAUUUUAGCGAACAAAAAAAUGUUUUAAAAUGAAUGUUACUUGCAUCACUUUUCAAUGUAGAAUUAUUUUUGUACUUUCACUCAUACCCUCUAAUUAAUUGAGUAUACACUACUUUUAAAGACUUUUUCAAUACUCCCUCCGUCUCAGUUUAACUGAGCCAGUUGACCAUUUCACACAUAUUAAAAAAAAUGUAUAAAUGAAUAAGAGAGAAAAAUGGUUUUGAGUGCCUUUGUCAAGUAUUGAUGCAUUUUUCUUUAUCAUAAAUGUAAAAAUAGAAUAUAUUGAAUUAGCAGUGAUGAAAGUUAUAUUAAUUAGAGUUAUAAUUAAAAAAAAAGUAAUUCAUAUCGUAUUGAAAAGUGAAAUGAAUCAAUAUUUAUUUACAAAUGAUGAGUUAUUAUUAUGGUACAAAGAGAAUAAUAAAUAAUAUUAGUUUAGUAAAAUUAUCAUGUAUUUUAACAUAAUUAUUACAUUUUUUAAUUUAUACAUGUAAAAAUCUUAAACGACGGUUAUUUUGAUGAAAUUAAGAAGUAUAGAUUAUUUUAAAACCUAGGAAGUAAAAAUAUUAAAAUAAAACGAAAAAUGCGAUUGGCAGCGAUUUACCAACUACCGCAGUGAGUGGGACCAAUAUCAAUAUCCGUUGUACACACUCACUCACCGUUUAACAACAACCACAUUGGCCAUGAUAAUUGGACUGGUCCCACACUGCUCAUCACAGAACAGAACCACCACCUCACCUAGGUAGUUGUUGGCCCCACUUCUUUCUCUCUCUUCUUUUCAUUCAUUCAUCAAUAGAAAAAUAACAGAAUACUAGAAAGAAACCACUUUGUCUCUUCCCAAGAUCUAAUCUAAUCACAUUUCCCUCUUUUAUCUUCAACUUCUCUUCUUUUUUCUUCAUUUUAGAUACAUAGAUAGAUCUCUCUCUUGCCUUUCGCUUUAGCUACUUUAAUUUUCCCUCUUCAAUUUAUUCCACUUACUAUUUUUGUUUAUGAGUGAGAAAUUAUUGAAAUUAAUGCAAUAAUAUGGGGAAGAAUAAGCCAAAUUGGUUUUCUAAUGUCAAGAAAGCUCUUAGCCCUGACUCUAAACAAAACAAACAUCAGGUUUGCAUUUCAAUUCGCUUACUACUUGUCAGAAUGUUUGAGAGAAUUUAUCGCUACAACUUAUUUUUGUGAUAGAAAUAGCUUAUACAUACGCACUUAGGCUAUAAGCGCUUAAUAUGUUUAAUCUGGUGUUAGCAAUUGAUUUUGCAGAAUUCAAGUGGAUCAAAGAAGAAAUGGUUUGGGAAGAAAAAAUUGAACACUUCAGAUUCAUAUCCAGAAACUGAUCAAGCACCUCCUUUUCAUCCACCUGAGGCUGAGGAGGAGAUUAUUUUAACUCAUGUUCAGAAUCAAAACAAUCAUGAUCAUGUUGAAGUUGUACCAGAUGUGGAUGUUGAUGUACCUGUUCCUGAUGUUCAGAUAGAAACUGUUGAGGUUCAAGCCGCUCCAAUUGUUCAGGUUGCUAGUAAACCGAAUGAUGAAGUUGCGGCAAUCAUGAUUCAAACCACUUUUCGGCGAUACUUGGUAUUUAUUUUGUGUCUUACAAUUAUGUGUUUGAAUGUUUUUACUGCAAGUGAAAAAACCUCAAUUACAAAAUUGAUAUUUCACUUCUUGUUUGAAACUUGAAUGUAAAUCAGUACAACAAAAUAUGUGUAAUGCGUUGUCCUCUUUAACAAUGCCAAUUUAUGCUUCAUUAGUGGUAACCGAUGAUUGCUGCAAAAGAAAGUUUAUUAAUUCAAUGACUUUCUACUUUCAAGCUGAAUUUUGUUUUGAUAUCAUUCAGGCAAGAAGAGCAUUUCGGGCUUUAAGGGGGCUGAACAGGUUAAGAGCACUAAUGGAAGGGCCAGUGGUAAAACGUCAAGCCAUUAGUACCCUCCGCUCUAUGCAGACUUUAGGUCAUGUGCAAUCCCAGAUUCGUUCGAGGCGGGUCAGGAUGUUAGAGGAGACUCAAGCUCUGCAAAAACAGCUCUUACAGAAGCACACAAAAGAACUAGAGAUACAGGUAAGUAACUGAAGGGUUAGCGCAUAUUUUUAUGUAUUUAAAUUUUAGCUUAUGGAUUAUGGAAUGCUUUUAACUUGUUUCAAAUUCUCAUAACAGAUUGGGGAGGAAUGGGAUGAAAGCAUACAAUCAAGAGAGCAAAUUGAAGCCAAGUUACUAAGCAAGUACGAGGCUACGAUGAGAAGAGAAAGAGCAAUGGCUUAUUCAUUCACUCAUCAGGUUUGCUAUUUUUCUUAAGAAGUUGCAUUUGUUUUAGGUUAGUCAGGAAAAGAAAUGAGAAAAGAGCAUGGAUGAAAUUUUGAUGAACUGAAAGAUCAAAGGAAAAAUGGCUAGUAAGGUAAAUUAAAAAAAUUUACACAUAGUAUAAAGCAUGGAUGAAAUUUUUUUAACUGAAAGAUCAAAGGAAAAAUGACCAGCAAGGUAAAUUGCAUGAAAUUUUUACACAGUAUAAAGCAUGAUUAUCAAAUUGAGAUUAAUUUCCGAAUUGUUAGUCGAAUCUUGUUAUGGAUCGUAAGAUAUAUUACCGAUAAAAAUGACAUUUUUAUGAGAAAAAAAAAUGACCUGGCAAAAUUAAAAGCUGAUGAACAUCAAAAUAACUCAAGAUUUAAGUCACAAAUCAAUCGACAAAAUAAAAGUAGUUAGCUAUAUGAGGUUAACAAAAAAAAUGUCUAGCUACUCAAGUUAGGCAGUGAUUCAGCAGAAUGAAUUGAAAUUUAUCACAAUGAACCGGGACUCAUCAUAACGAAUCGGAAUUUAAUGUGGGAGUAGUGUCCAAAAUAAAUACACACUUAGGAUUCAUGUCGUGUGGGUUCUGUCUAGUAUCAAAUCGAGAUACGGCUCACAAAUAUCGUAAGAUACUAAUAAUCAUGCUAUGAAGUAUCAAAAUGAGAAUCCCGAGGGUUAUUGUCAUACUAUUUUAGCUUAUUCUAUGUUUCCUCCUCUCUUUAAGUUGUUUUUAUUUCUUCUAACACCCAAGCUUAAUUAACUUUGGGUGAUAUAUCUUGUCUUUUUCUUCAGAACCUAGCAUCUGCUUAUGCCUCUUAAGUUUGAUUUUCUCCCUGCCUCGGUGAUUCCUUUCCCUGUCGUGUUCUGUAACGAAGUUACAUAGCACUCUUUUGAGAAUUACAGAAAGUGGAAGUUUGAAUCAUUUCUUUCGUAGUACCUCUUUCUAAUCUGGACCUGGUAUGAACCAGUUUUGCUAAUGAGCGUUCCAGACUGAUCCACAAAUAUAUCUGAAACUACGUAACACUUGAUUUAUUUUCUGCCCACUUCCCCUUCCCCACCUAAAAAAGAAAUAGAAAAUGACUUUUCUUACCACAAUUUUUAUAUCAGAUGCGACUCAAAUCCUCUAGUCUACUUUGGUUCAUGGAAGAGAAAAAAAGCAUUAUAGAUUAGAAUUCUGACAAAAAAAGAUGUCUAAUGAGCAAUAUCUAAAACUGCUCAAUGCUGUUUAUGAAUUCCCACCUCGAUUAAUUUUGUUAAGCUUCUCCUGAGUUGUCAUCGACAAAAUUGCCAAGAAGUCCUAUAUGUUUAAAUUGUCUGUAACAUAAUUUUCAGUUUGUCAGAGACUAAAAAUGUAACUGUUUUGUGAGAUUGCUAGAUAUACCUGGUGAACUCGGUGAUUUACCUAUUUUCUGCUAACAUAAUUUUCCAGUUUGAGGCUUCUCCAAUUUUAUUUUUUUCCAGUUUGAGUUUCUUGAUCUUUCGAACAACUUAAGUACCAAGUUUGACCUAAGAUAAAUAUACACUUCUGUUUGACAGAAAAACGGGCGGAAUGCAUCGAAAUCUAUAAAUCCAAUGUUCAUGGAUCCAACCAAUCCUAGUUGGGGAUGGAGCUGGUUAGAACGUUGGAUGGCAGCCAACCAAAGCCUGAUGGAAAAGGAGAACAAUUCAUCUGCAAAAAGUUCAAUCCGUGGCAUUACCAGUGCUGAAAUCAGCAAAUCAUUUGCUCGUUUCCAGCUCAAUUCCGAAAAUCAUUCUCCAACAGCGAGCCAAAAUCCAGGUUCACCUAACUUCCAAUCCAACUCAAAGCCUCCCAAGCCAGCAAUUGUCAAGAAACUGAAUAAGGCUAGUCCAAAGGUUAGCUGUAUUAUGGAUGAUGACACCAAAAGCAUGACUAGUGUGCAGUCGGAGCGAGUCCGGAGGAGGCACUCCAUUGCUGGAUCAAUAGUGAGGGAUGAUGAAAGUCUUGCAAGCUCUCCAGCUGUUCCAAGUUACAUGGUGCCAACUAAGUCUGCAAAAGCCAAGUCCAGGUUGCAAAGUCCAUCAGCUGCAGAGAACAGUACUCCAGAAAAAGGGUCCUUUGGAAAUGCAAAGAAACGGCUUAACUUCCCGGCUUCUCCUGCCAGAUCAUCAAGGCGGCAUUCAGGCCCACCAAAGGUAGAAAGCAGCUUAAAUGCAGAAAUUACUGUUGGCAACGGCGUGGCUGUUUGAUUAUAUAACCUGAGGAAAAGAAUGCAAAGCACUCCACUAGUAAUGGAAUUAUAUCAUGGAAGAAAUAAGAAAAGUUCGUUUGCAGUUUCCAUUUUUUAUUUUAUUUAUUCAUCCAAAUUUAUGUGUAGCUUAUCAUUUCCUUGGAGGCUGUUUUCUUUACUAUGUUCAUCUAUAUUUGUAUUUUCAUGUAUUUAUUUACUCACAAAUGUGGUUCAUGAUGGUAUUGUGACAGAAGAACAAGUGAGCUGUCAGAAAUCCUUGAGAGCAUUCCCAUUUGGAACUGUUAUCAUUCUGUUAUCUUCAUUCUUGUGAUAUAAAAUGUAUAUUUAAUUUAAUUGAUGACCUCAUUUCUUAUUUGUGAUUUUUUAUGUUACAUUGUUCUGGUUAGCUAUGAUAUUUGUGUUGUGUAUGGCUUGGUUGAAGAACGCAAGAAUAUUUGUUGUAUAUUUGGGAAGUGGCAACAGAUCUUGUCUCUAGUUACAUUAAUAUACUUGUCAUAAUAUAUAUUGUUUUAUUUAAGAUUUUUUACCAAAAUAUUUUAUUAAAGAUAUUUAUUAUAAAUAGUAUAAAUAAGUAAUUCUGUCCCUAGAUAUUUAUUCAUAAAAAAAAAAAAGUUUAAUGGUCAAAUACGACAAAUACAAUUUAAACUUAUGCCGGUAUUUCAAUGGUUGGUCGGCUUAUUGCAUGUGUUCCAACCUCUUCUAUUCGAUUUGAAAUUAGGCAUUGUGAACAAAUACGACAAAUAUGCUUAAAAAACAUAUUUUUUUCCUUUUGUAUGGAAAAGCUUAUUAUUUUUCAAGAGUUUAAUGGUCAUGCAAUGACGGCAUAGAAAUUCCUUAAAAAAGCAUCGUUGUAAAUUAAUUGUAUAUUGAUAUUCAAUAAACAUGCUUUAUUUUGCCACACCACAUCAUCAAUUUUAAGAUAUAGUUACAAGAGUGAAAGAAUGUGCAAAAGGAUGAUUUGUUUUAGAUAUCGGUCUAAUUAAUUUACACUUACUUAAUGUGGAAAGAUCAUUUACAUGGGAGUUUCUAUGGUACAUCCUUAAAUUAAAGUGUACUGAUACACCUAUUUUAUAAAUCAACAAGUUAUCGAUCAUUUUUCUAUAAUAAAGAUAUAUUUAUCAACUUUUAUAUUUUAGAAAAUAUUAUUUUAUAAGAAAAAACGUCAUUUCAUCCUUUAUAAGAAUCAUACUAAUUUUUUAACAUUUUAUCCAAAAAAAUAAUCAAUAUUCACUAUUAUGGGUAUUAAAAAUUAAAAAAAAUUGAAUUUUGAUUUGCCGACACUUUUGAGAAAUAAAAUAUAAUUAUUAUAAUUGUAACCAAUAAAAAAUAUAUUUUUUCUAAAAAAAGUAACUCAUUAAACUAUUCAUUUAACAUAUGAGUGUACCGGUAUACUCAAUUUUAUUGAGUGUACCAUAGAAAUUAUUAUUUGUACACCUUUGCUUAAGUGAAAUUUAAACAUGGCAAAGACACCUUUGUUUAAGUAGACUUUGGCAUCCUAAACUUUUGUUGUGUACGUACCAAAAAGGGGUCUAACGGAUCAAUUUAACUCGAUUUUUCUGAGCGAAAAAAAAAUAUGUUUCAAUAAAAAUUGGUAUUUAGUCUCACACCUUUAAUAUUGAAUAUUUAAUUAUUAUUAUUAUUUUUUUAUGGUGAUCGGGGUUUGAACUCCGACCUUGCAUAUAUUAUGCAUUGUGCAUAACAACUGAGCUAUGCUCACGAGGACGAAUAUUUAAUUAUCUAAUAACAUGUUAUUCAUUUAUUUUUUCUUCAAAAAAAUGUUAUUAAUUUAUUUUAAAUUAAAUUUAUACGUUAAAUUAAUGAAUUACAACUAUACUGUGUCAAAAAAAGUAGUAAAACCAUAGGGUGUCCAACAAGUCACUAAUAAUUAGAAGAAAAAAAUAAUAUUUUUUUUAGAGGAAAAAAAAGUCCAGGGUGUCCAACAAGUUAUUUUAGUACAAAACAUACGAUAUUUCUAGAAAAACUGUGCAUUGGCGGUUUGGACGCUACGAGAAAACUAGACGUAUUGAGCAAGAAAACUCAACAAAACAAAAUAAAAACCGCAGUUUUCUUUCAUUCUCAACCUUAUUUGUUC